UAGAGAAACCUAUUCACUGUUACGUCUCUAUCUCUUCCUCUCGUCUCUUCGACUCUUCUUUUCUAUGUUCAUUGACUCUCUCUCGUUUCCUCCCCUCAGCUCUCUCGUUCGCAGUUGUCGACCGACCUCCACANNNNNNNNNNNNNNNNNNNNNNNNNNNNNNNNNNNNNNNNNNNNNNNNNNNNNNNNNNNNNNNNNNNACCCCUUCUCUAUGACCUCCUCACAACGUCGAUUUCUCACUCUGACUUUCACUUCUUGCAUAUGAUUUUCAGAUUCUUACUCAAUUAUUGUUUUCUUCUUCUACUAUUUAUUAUUUGUGAAUUGUUUUAGUUUAUGAUUGUAAACUAGUAGUAGUGUGUUAAUUGUAUUAUUGACUUUUUGAAUUGUGAACGGUUUUAGUGUGAGAAUUGAGAUUGUGAACAUUAGUGUGUGAAUUGUGACUUUGUGAUUGUGAACUAUUUUUCUUAUUAGUGUAGUGUGGAUAUGGAAUUGUAAAUUUGUGAACUAUUUUACUUUGUUAAUGUGAGUUGUAACUUUGAGAAUUGUAAACGGUGUCUCUGAAUGUGUUUGUGAUUCAGUUAUUUUUAUGUUACUAAGUUAGUGUUGUGUAAUUAAUAUAUAUAUUUUUUUAGGAGUGAUACAAUGUUUAAACAUAAAAAAAUUGAUACAUUUUUUCAAGAAGAAAAUUUUCAACAAAAGUGAAAAUUAUAAAGUUUCAACAUCGACACUUGAAAAACAUCCUUCUAGUGAACAAACAAUUCAACCGAAUACUACACAUAUAUAGCUUCAUCACUCCCAAACUUAACAAUUUCUUGAUCUCAUUUAUCCUCUUUCUAUUAUUGUGUUUGCAAUUUUUUGUGCGUUUAAAUUGCAAAUUUACAAUUUAAAAUACGAAUAUACAAUAUUAUAUUUACUUUAUUAAUUAAAAUUAAUAAAUUUGACACCCUCAAAAGUUUUGGUCAAGAUCCGCCAUUGCACACGUUCAUCAUCUAUAUUUUAAAAUUAAUAGUAAUAAUUAAAUUAAAUACACGCUAUGGAUACACAUAAACAUUUUAGAAGCUAAUAGGAAAUUACCAAACAAUAAACUUACUCCAAACAAAAAAAACUAAUUUCUUCUACAUAGGAUCAAUGAUCAAGAAUAAUGCAAGAUCUCUAGUCUUCCAUCUUAACCAUCUACAUAAAAAUAUUUGAUGAUAUUUACUCAUAUUAACUAUAAGUUGUCUCUAAUGUGACUAUUCAAUUCACCCACGUGUUUACAAAUCAUACGUAAAGUUGAGAGAGUGUUGAAUUAAAUGAUAGCUUUCAUAAAUGUUUUACUCAACAUGGUUUCGACGAAACAAAUCAUUCUUAGACAUUUCAACAAAGACAUUACACAUGAACUUAAAGCAACCAAAAAAUAACAAUAAAACAUAAGGAAAGAAACAUAACCGCAAAAAACAUAAAUACACCAACACAAACAUUACAUCUCAUUUUCUACAAUUUAGGUUGUAACAUUCACUACCAGAUUUAGAGGCGGGGGACGAUAAAUCAGAGAUGAUGGCCGAUUUAUGCAAUAUUAAGACUUGUUUAUUAAAAAAGGUCCCUUAGAUUCAUAACUUAGUUGAUUUGUGCAAUAUUAAGGUUUAUUGAGUAAAAGUUAGUUGAUAUAGUUUUUAAGCUAAUUGAAUAUUUAGUAAAGUUAGUGGUAAAAUUAAUUUAAAAAUGUAAAAUAAUAUAAACAAACAUUCUUAAUUAAAAUUAAAUUUAUCAAUUAAUGAUUAAAAUAUUUUAAAAUUAAUAAUUACUGUUUAUUAAUUUAAAAUUUAUUAAUCCAAUAUAAUUUUUAUUUAUUUAGCAAGUUUUAAGUUAUAAUAACUAAAAUAAUUUAAAUUAUUUACGUUAAAAUAUUAACUAUUUAUAAAUAAUUAAAAAAGAUAAUAAUAAAUUAUUUAUCAAUUUGAUAAAUUUUUAUUUAGUUAGUUUAAUUAUUUUAAAUUUGAAAAUUAAGUAUUUUAAAUUAUUUUAAAUUAUUUAUUAGUUUAUGUAUUCUAAAUUAUAGUAAAUAAAAUAUAACGAAUAGAAAAUGAUUAAUUUAAUUACAAUAAUAAAAGUAAAAAUAACAAAAAAAUGAUAAAUUUAAAAUUAUUAACUCAAAAGCUACUCGGAUAGUUUAUUAAAAAAUGAUAUAAUAUAUAAGCUAUAAGCUCAUAAUUUGAAAUAUCAAAUAAAUUUUAUAAACUAAUUUUAUAAACAAAAUAAGAUCUAUUUAGUGAUAAUCUUUAAAAGUCUCUUAUGCAAUACUGACAAAAUAAUUUUUAUUUUUUUAUAUGAAUACCACACUUAAAUUAAAAAACAAAUAACGUCACAUGUAACAUACAAAAAUAAAAUUAUAGAUGAAAUAUAGAAAGGAUAAAUUUAUUUUAAAAAUUAUUUAUUUAAAUAUAAUAAAAUAAUUCAAAGAAUAGUUUUAUACAACAAAAGAGAAAAAAAAAAAUAAACUACUAUUUUUUAAGCCAAGAAAGGAGGCGCCGCCGGCUGUGAGACGGUGUUAUUGUGAGUCUAAUAUUCAAAAUGCAUACAUAAAAGCUGUUUCCAAAUUUCCUUUGCAUAGAUAGGUUCUCGUUACCCUACUACUUCUUUGACUGCAAUAUUGGCCCUUGUAUCACCAUGCUAUAAUUUGUCUUUAAACGACAGUAUUUCUUGACUAUUUAUACUGUGAUGAUUUCAAUCCUAAUACUAUCCACGUGUUGCACACCUCAAGACAACACCGAUUUGGUAUUAAAUGCAUUCAUAUAAAUUAAUCGAAUUAAAUAUUGAAUAAAAAAUUCAAAUAAAUAAUUUGACUGGAAAUAUCAAUUGAUUGAAUAGGUAUUCAAAUCAAAUAAAUGUUUAUUGAUUCCAAAAUUAAUGCAAGGUAAUAAUUCAAACUAAAUUUAUUAAAGGUAAAUAGUAAUAAUUGAAAUUGAUUCACAUUCAUUGCCAACUUUCAUUGCACGCAUGGCUUGCAAAGGACGUCGACAAAUAAAGUGGGAAUAACUCAUGCCGCUAGACAAGGGUAAUUGAUCGAUUAAUGAAAUGUAUAUAUAUAAAAAAUAUUAUAAUUAAAUUUAUCUGUAUAAGAUUUACAUUGAUGUUUACUAUAAAUAAAUGAUUACUUGACUAUAAUAAAAAAAUUAUUAUAAUGGGCGUUGGCAAUAAAUAAAUAAUAUAUAUGUUUUAGUCUAUGAAAUUUUUUAAGUUUAAUUAUAGUUUUGGUAUAUUUAUUAUUAUUAAUUAAUUAGUCUCUUAUUUUAAAAAUAGACAAUUUUAGUCUAUCUCUCAAAUUUUUAAAUUAAAAAAUGAUUGAUUUGACGUAUUUUUAAUGAUGUGACCUACAAUUGUAUAAUAUAAAACCAUAUAGAUGUAUUAAUUAUUCUUAUUUCAUCAAUUAAAUUAAUAUUAUAAAAAAAUUAUGAAGUUAAAAUUUAAAUUUUUACGACGUUUUAUUUCAAUUUCAUAGAUAUUAAUCGUUCUACAUCAUUCUAUUAUAUGUCACAUUAUUUAAAAUAUUUUACGUCAUCAUUUUUUGAUUAAAAAAUCAAAAUAAUAGAUUAAAAUUAUAAACUUUUAAAUAUGGGGAUCAAUUUCGUGAAUCAGUAAAAAUAAAAAGAUUAAAAUUAUAAUAAGCCAAACUUUUAUUUUUUUUUCAAAUUAUAUUAAAUACUAUUAAUAAAUUUUUUAAUUUCAAAUUUAUAGAAGUUUUGAAUUAUGAAAUUAGUAACAUUGUCCUGAUUUUUGUCAACUGCCGCCGCUGGGAGUUAGUUUCCUCCUUCGUCGAAAUGUGCUCAUAAUGUGGAUAACUAUGCUAAAUAAUUGGAUAUAGUUUCCUCCUUUGGGUUGUUUUUAAGAUAUACUUUAUCAUUAGAAUUACCAUGACAUAAUUCAUAAGAAAUGCACACGACCAACAAUUUUGUUACCAAACAGUUUCCUUUUGGCUAUCAAUAUCUCUUAAUUUUUUUUAUAAAAACGGAAGACCUAAAAUACCAUUUUUUUUAUUUGUCUCAUUUUUUAAAUCUUAUAACUCCAUUUGUCCUUUCAUCACCAUCAUUAACCUCAUAAUGUACGCAUCAUAACUCAUUCAUAACUCACACCACUCACCUAUAACUUACCCUCCAUAAGUCACAUUUUCAUAUUAUAGUUAAAGUCACCAAUAGAAUAUGCUUAAUGAUAUGUGUUUGAAUUCGUAUUUUUUCUCUUCAAAAUCUUGGAAUUUUACGUCAACCCAGUUCAUGGACAUUGUAAAUAAUACAUUGUACGCAAACUUAAAUCACGUAUCUUUACGUGAUCAGUUUUCACGCACGUGAUUCAAUUUAAGAAACUAUAGGUACUACGUUAAUACAUUUCGCGUAAUGAUACACGAUUUAAGUUUGCAUAUGCAAUGGAAUUUAAGGGUUUACAUAGAUGAUCUCAAUUUAUGAGACAAUACCUACUUGAAUUCAGUUCACAUACGGUUGCAUGAAUUCAAUUCAAUUCACAUAGUUUGCGUGAAUCCAAUUCACAUAUGAUACAUUAAUUGAAAUCACGUAAACAAUAUUUUUAAUAUUUUUAAUUUAUUCUUAUUAGAUGUAGAUAAAUGGACCAAUUGGAAGAUAAUAGUGACGAAAUGUACGAUGGUUUGGACUCUAAUUUUGAAGAAACGUAUGAUGGUAUGGAAUCUGAAUUUGACGAAAUAUAUGAUGGUUUGGAAUCUGAUGUUGACGCAAUGAAUGAUGGUGUUGAACCCGAAAUUGACGAUGUUAUGAAUAACGGUGUUGAACCUGAUAUGGUGGAUUUGACUAAUGUGUUUACCACCGACAUCAUGUUUGAUACCCGAUAUGAUUUAUUGAAAUGUGAUAAAAAUAUUGGAAGGGGAAAUAGAAUUAUCGCUGUCAUUUUUAGAUCUGAAAGAAACAACAAAUAUAUACUUUGGAAGAAUCCUAAAGCCGUGAGAAGUACUUGAACUAAAAAAUGUUAAUUUUCAUUUAGAUUGAGAGGAACACCAUCAAAUAUUGGUAAGGGGUGGUAUUUUGCAUGUAACAUUUGGUCUCCAUAACUACGAGUUGACCAAAAAAUUGACUAUUCAUUCUUUCUUAAGUCGAUCGUCUCAUGAAGACAAAUAUGUAUUUGGUAUAUGACGAAGAACAUGAUCAAUCCAAGAAACAUAUUGAUGAUAUUAAAGGAUCAUAAUUUUGAAAUGCAACAUCUAAUGACAUUGAUAGAACGCACAAAUAUGUAUAUCGAUAUAGAAAAGUAGAGGGUUUAGAUGAGUUUAUGGACAUAUUCUGAGUUCAUCUAGAUGUUAUCACUCUUGUGAAUGAUUCUCACAUAAUAUUGAUUAUGGAUAACACAUACAACACUUGUAGGUAUCAAAUGCCAUUACUUGAGAUUAUUAGUGUUACUUCUACUGAAAUGAUAUUUUGCAUUAGAUUUGCAGAUCUUCAGUCUGAGCGUGCUAAUAUCUAUAGUCUAGGUUUGUCCUCAACAUAUCUAAGAGAAGGUUUACAUUAGUCUACACAUAAAGUCGGAAUAUUCUCAUAGACCCAAGUCUGUAUAUAUAUAAUAAUAUAUCAUUAAUUUAGAAUUAAUAAUAGAAAUUAUCAACACAAUAAACAACCAUUGAGUAUACAUGUAAAAGUGUUAAAUACCUAGAAACCAUUUUGGUGUGAUGCAUACUGGCUUCACGGAGAUUGUCAUAUAUGUAAGCAAGAGUAGUAGUACCCUGUGUGUAUCCCCACAUGAGUUGAUUUCUCAAAAGCACUCUAGGUAGGCAACACUAACUGUGAAGACACUUUUGCUGCUGAAAAGGGUGCAACCAACCAAAAAUAGUAGAAAUAUCAUCGCAACAAUUUCUCAUAGCUAGUCACGACAACACUGAUGGUAUGCUUCAAGUAGUCAACUAUAUCGAACAAUGGUUGUCCACGUGACAUUAAAUUCAGCAUGAAGUCUUAGUAAUAUGAUCUCUUUAUCGAUUAUUUCGUAACUGCAUUUUGACAACGAAUAUAACCCUGAAUUGUUAACCAACUGCCCCACCUCUUCAUAUUCAAUCACAACUUCUUUCAAUUUUUUCAUUGCUAAAUAGCCUUAGCUCGCCACAAUCUUGAAAUAAAAGAAGGAAAAAUAUAAGCUAAAACACAUUAUGACAACAACUAUUAAAAAAUUAAUAUGAUCGAUAAAAUUAUCACUCGAUCCCAAAGUCGAGUUGUUGCGUAGUCACCAAAUAUCCUAAGAACAAAUGUGCCAACAUGACUACCAUGAUAUUCAUCAACAUGUGGAAGUUGAUCCAUCUACUCUAAAUGAGCCUCAUGUUAUGUUUGCUCUUCCUGUUGGGUUUGCUUUUCUUGUUGGUCAUGUUGCUCUUGUUAUUGUAAUAAUUGUUGUUCCCAUUGUACCUGCCUAUCCCGUUGCACUUCUUGCUGCUCCUCAAGAUUUUGAGUUCGUGUAGACGCGGUCGUUCUAAUAGGACGACCCUCAUUAUUAGCAAUAUCAUUAAUUAUAACUCAACCUACUCUAUUAGUAAUCAUAGUGCACACUAUUUCUACACAACCAUAUCAUAAUCAAAAUCUAAACACAAUCAAAUAUGUUGUGUACGCAGACUCAGUUCACAUAGACUCAAUUCAUGUACGCAAACUUAGUUCACGUAGGUUCCUACAGAAACUUAGUUCACAUAGGUUCCCACACAGACUCAAUUUGCGUAUUCAGUUUGCGUACACAUGGACACCAUCAAAAUCACCAUUGUUGUUCUAGUAUCAAAUGUUGACAAAAUCAAUUUCAUUAUCACCAAAAUCAAUUUCAAUUGCAUAAGCCUAACUAAAUAUUAUAAAAAAGAAAAAGAAUGACAUUUUAAAUAUUUCGUUUUUAUAAAAUUAUUUAAAUAGAAAAAUUAAUAGACCAAACCUUACCAGAGCCAUUACAACAUUUAUAACUUUUAUUUAAAUAUGAUUCCCAAAAAUAUGUAUAUUAAGAUAACGAAAUGAACUCCUAAAAAAAAUGAAAUCAAAUUGUGUUACUUUAAGAAGAUCUCUUAUCUUUGAAAAACAUUAAAAUUAAAAUCAUGUUAGAAAAUUAUAAUAGACUAAAUUACACAUUAGAGCUUCUAAAUAUCAUGGUGGGUGAGUUCCAAGAUCACGGUGACGUUGAGAAAUAAUGAAAAAUAAAACUUGAGCAAAUUCAAAGAAUAUAAAAGAAACAAAAUGAAUAUCAUUUUUCUAAAUUAUGUUUGCAAAAAUAAUAUAAUUUUUCACAAGCAAAGGCAAUCUAAGAAAAAAGAAAAAAUUGAAAAUGCUUCUCUCAAAAUUGAGAACAAUAUUCAUUUCACCCAUAUUUAAACCCACUUUUAGGCAUAAAUGAGCGUGAAAAUAACAAAUUACAUCAGGUGGCUAUCUACUCAAUCACAGAAUAACAGUCAAUUCACGGGGCAUAUCACAAAAGCCAUCAAAUUAAAUAUAAAUAUGUCUUGCAAUGUGCUUAGAACUAAAAAUAUAAUAAUCAAAUGAAAGAAAAAUUGAACCAAUCACAGUAGCUGCAAAGAAGAGAGAGAACUUGAAAUUAAAAAAUGAAGAAAAUCCAAAAAUAAAGGGCGAGAGAGAUUGGGGCAUAGGGAGGUGAAUAAAGAAAAUGAUGAGAGAUUCUUAUAUAUAAAAGAACAUAUAUGAUGAGAGAUAGGUGCAUACCCUAUUUUCUCUUAAAUUUAUUGUAAUUGUAUUUUGACCAAAAAUUUAUUGUAAAACAUCAAUGCCUUAAUAAAAAGGGAAAAAUGGUGGUGAAUUAAGUAAUUAGUGAUUUCGAAGACGAGAGUAAAAUAAGAAAUAUAAAUAUAAUUAUGAUAUCAAAUUAAUUACCCAAUUGUAAUAUUUGUUAAUAGUGGUGAGAAUAAGUUGAAUUUGAAAAUUUGACCUCUUAAAAAAAUUUAAAGUUUAAAUAUGUCUUGAUUUAUUAUAGAGUUUUUUAGAUCUGACAUUUAUGAAAACUUAGUACAACCUAUUAAUUUAUUUAAAAAUUUAGUUUAUAUUAACAUUUUAAAUAAGUAUUAAAUAUAUUUUUAAUAGAUUAAUAUGUUAAUAUAUUAAUGAAAUUAAAUAAUUUUUUUAUAUAUUUAAUAUGAUAUUUUAAAAAUUUAAUUUUAUAUGAAAUUGUACUUCAAUUCUAAUUUAUUAUUAUGGGUGGAAACCAGCACAGUUGAACCAAACUUUGCUUAAACGCCUACUAUCAGUCAAAGACUUGAAUGUUGUUGAACAUGUACAACCAUAACACUUAUUUUUUUCCACUUUUUAUAAUAAACUUGAUGUAUAUAUGAAUACUAAUCAUUAACAAAAUAAAAAAACAAAAUACAAUGUUAAAUUUAUAGAAUAAUAAUUUUGAGAGAAAAAAAUAAAUAUAAAUUAGUGAGAAAAAAAAAUUAGUGUUCAAAAUUAUAAUAAAGAGUUUUUUAUUAUAGUAAUAUAAAGAUUUUUUAAUAUACAAAUAUGUUAAGUCUUUUAGUCUAUUAUUAUUAUUAUUAUUAUUAUUAUUAUUAUUAUUAUUAUUAUUAUUAUUAUUAUUAUUAUUAUUAUUAUUAUUAUUAUUAUUAUUAUUAUUAUUAUUAUNNNNNNNNNNNNNNNNNNNNNNNNNNNNNNNNNNNNNNNNNNNNNNNNNNNNNNNNNNNNNNNNNNNNNNNNNNNNNNNNNNNNNNNNNNNNNNNNNNNNNNNNNNNNNNNNUUAUUAUUAUUAUUAUUAUUAUUAUUAUUAUUAUUAUUAUUAUUAUUAUUAUUAUUAUUAUUAUUAUUAUUAUUAUUAUUAUUAUUUUAAUUACAUAUAUACGAGUUUAUCUGUCAAACAUAAUAUACUUUUUAGAUAACAUGAUUUUAAACUAUUUAAAUAAAUAAAUUUAAAAUAUAAAAAUAGAAAGUUUAGUCUAAUAUUUUUAUUAACUAAAUUAAAUAUUUAAAUUUACGACUUUAAUAUAACACAUGGCAAGUUGUAUUGACCAUUAAAACAUUGAUAUAUUCUAACUUAUCUAUUUUUUAAAAAAUUUAUAAUAUUUUUGAGUUUUGGUCAGUAAAUUUUUUAGAUUUUUGCUCUUUAUAUAUGAAAAUCAAUAAUUCUUAAAUGUCACUUUUGCAUAAUACUCAAUUACGUUCUCAAAAUAAUUAGACUUACAAAGAUAAAAUAAAGCAAGACUGCGAAUCAUUCAAAUUAAUUGAAACUUCAAUGAUUAUUAGUUUUAUUAUUCAUAAUUUACGAAAAUAAAAUUUUUUACUACCAUUUUUAAAAACUCAUAUUUUUUAAUAAAAUUUUAUAUAUUUUAGAACUUAAUUAAUUUGUGGAUAGUUUUAUAAUCCUUCACAUGGACGAUGUGUGAUAUAAUUUACAGAAAUUAUAUAAUUUAUAUUUCAACAUAUAAUAUAAUUAAUUUAUAUUAUAUUUAAAUUAAUAUUUUUAUUGUUUAGUAAAAAGAAAGAUAUUUUAUAGUUAGGCACAAUCAAUUAUUAUCUCUGCUUAGGUAAUUAUUAUUAAAAUGUUUAAAAGUUCAUGUAUACUCGAUGGGAAUAACAAUAAAGGGGACUUUGAUAUUUUUAAUGUAACACUUACGGCGAUUUCUUUUUGAGAUGAAGUUAUUUUUACACCCAUUAGGAUUACACAAGGGGUCGAUUUUUACCAUUUCUAUGAUUUUUAUAUAUAUUAUUUUAACAUUUUCUUAUAGUUAUAUCACACCUCAAUUAAAAUAUUGGUCUGCAUUAUGUCAAAAAUAAUAAUUACUUUGGGCUGAAUCAUAAUAUAAAAGAUUCACUUAGGUUGACAAUAACAAGAAAAUUUUCCCUUGUACCUACUCAUUUAUCCCUAUACCUCUAAAAUUAAAAGAAAAAUACUAAAAUAUUUUUAUAUAUAUAAUUUUUUUUUAAUUUCUUCAUUUAACCGGAACAUAAAUAACAAGCAAAAAAAAAAAACAAUUCCAGAAAACUUCUUUCAAGUUUUCCGGUACACAACUUUCACUCCGGAAAACUUGAAAGAAGUUUUCCGUUACAUAAUAUCAUUUCCGAAAAACUUCAACGUAAUAUUUCCGGAAACCACCGAAAAACUUCAUCUGUUUUCCGAUAGUUGUUUGAUUUUUUUUAUAAAUAUUUUUUAAAAUAAUUUUUUUGUUUUAUUUUUUUUAUUAUAUUAGUAUUUAUUUGAUUUUAACUAAUUUAUAGAUCUUGUUAUGGAAAGUAGUAUUAAUCAUUAAUUAUGGUGUAUUAAUUAUGAAUUAUUAUGGUGUAUUAAUAAUGUAUUAAUUAUGAAUUAUUAUGGUGUAUUAAUAGUGUAUUAAUUAUUGAAUGGUGUAUUAAUUAUUAAUCAUUUAUAAUAUAUUAAUUAUUAAUUAUUUAGGGUAUAUUUAUGUGUGUUAAUUAAUAUUUAUGAUGCGUUAAUUAUUGACUAAUGUAUUAUCAUUUAUAAAAAUAAUAAAAUAAAAUAAAAAUUUAAAAAAAUGGUGUGUACCGGAAAUCUUUUUGAAAUUUUUUUCUCAAAACACCUUCUGUACCGAAAAUCUUUGGAAUGAAGUUUUCCGGUAGUACAAUUUUUCACUUCUGUACCGGAAAUCCUUUUUAAAGUUUUCCGGUAACAACUUUCUGUACCGGAAAACUUGAAAAAAGUUUUCCGAAAGUAAGGUGUGUACCGGAAAUGUUUUUUGUAGUUCCAAAAAAGAUAAAAUUAUAAAAAAUAAAAAAAAAAACUUUGAAUUAAUAAGGGCAUAAUUGUCAUUUUCAAAAAAUUAUGGGGUAUAGGUAUAAAAAUGGGGGUACAGGUGAAAUUUUUCCAAUAACAAUGACUCAUUUAAACAAGUUGGGCGAAAUAUAUCUUAGGAAGGUAGUUUGAUUAGCGUGAGUUAAAAAAUGUUGAAGAAACUUCAAGUAGGUCACGGGUUUUCCGAAUAUUAACAUAAUCUAAUAAAUUUUUAAUAUUUAUUUAUAAAAAAAUUGAGCAAAUAUUGCGAUGUCAAUUUUUAGUAAUAUAAAAUAAAUAAUUUUUAUUAAAUAUUAAAAUAAAACUAUUUUACACUAUUAUUACGUAUCUAUUAAACUAAAAAAUAAAAUUACUUUAUUAUAAUAAAAUUUUUAAUUUACAUUUAAAUAUUUUUUAUUUUUUUUUACUUUAUACAGCGCAUAGACUCAACUAUGCUAAUUUGAUUAACUUAUUAAUUUUUUUUAGACAACAUCAUGUUUUAUAGUUUGAAUUCUUCACUGCCAUAUGUUAUUUUGAGGGAGGGAAAAUGCUAUGAAUGUUUUUUUUAUAUGUGCAAGAUGUGAAUAAUAAUUACAAAGUAAGAGAUGAAGUUUAGUAAAGAUUUUUUUAUAUGUUGGAAAGGGAGAGAAGGACUUUAAAAAAAAGGAAAAAAAAAUGAAAGAAAUGGAGACUUUGAGAGGAAAUGUGUUUGACGGAUUUGUUUUUACUCAUUAAUACAAAAUUCCUUUUCUAAGGCUCUUAAUAUUGCUAGUUUUAAUAAGCUACAUAUGAAAUGUAUUUUUCACUUAAUAAAAUUUUAAUAUAUUAUUUUAAAUGUGUAUGUUAAUUUUAACUAAUAUUUUUGAAAUAUAUAUAAAUUCAUCAAGAAAAUUGAUGAUAUCAAAUUUAGUUUUUUUGCUUAGAAUUAUAUUUUUUCUUCACUAAAUUUGUUAUGAGUAGUGUGUUGCUUAUUUUAAUUUUGGGAGUGCAUUGAAAAAUAAUGAAGGCUUAGUGUUACUGGUAGUUAUUUUAUUUUAUUUAAGAGUAACUAGUAAGUUUUAUUGAGUCAAUUUAUUUCUCCUCAAAAUAAAAAUAUAAAUUGGAAAUAGGCCUUGAAAACAUAUUCCUAUAAUUUAGGAAGAGGAUAAUAAAAUAGUAACAACAAAUUACUUAACUCUACAAAACAGAAUCGACUCCCUUCUAUUUAUAGUUAUUCAAUACUCAUUCUUACCAUUUAGGAUAUAGAAGAAGAACAAAAAGAGAAAAAUAUUUUAUUUUCUUCAAAGAAAAUUGUGUAGCUUAUUGUGUCGUCGUAGGAAUUACUACCUUACUUGUUUCUUUAGGUUCUCUUUAUUUUCUUAAAAUUAGAUUCUCUUUAUUUUCUAAAAUUUAUUUAGGGCUUUAUAACAUAAAGUGAUUCCAAUGAAAAUUAUAUUAUUGGAAAAGUUUUGAUUCAUAGUCUUAAUCAGUUCGAGUUUCAUGUUUUAAUAAUUAAUUGAUUCUAAAUAGUAAUUUUAUGGUAUUUUCGUUAUAUGUGUAAAUCAUGACAUGCAAUUUAUUUUCUUAUAAAUGUUCUUGAUUUCUUUAUGAUAUUGAUAUAGAAAUCUAUUUUGAUCAGAGAAAAUAUUUAUCUAUGUCAAAAAUUAUUUUUUAUCUAAUAGAAUUUGUUUAUAAAGACUAGAUCGUGUUUUAAUCAAUAGAAAUCGUUAUUUGCUAUAAGCUUAAUUUUAUUUGGUUAAAAUUUUAUAUUGUGAUAGUUUGAGUGGUGAAGAGAUUUUUAGAAAUCUUAUUGAUAUUAAUUAUAAUAAGUUUUCUAGAAACAUUCAAUGUGUUGAAAGUUGUUGUUAUUCGCAUGACAUAUGUGUGAUGUUUUGGUCAUAACUUUUUCUAUAGACAUCCGUUUUGAAUGAUAUUUAGUUUUCUGGAAACUAGACUCAAUUACCUUCAAAUUGAGUACAAAAUUGGUGAUGAUUGAUUGAGUAUUGAUGUUGAAAAAUGGGUUACAAGCUGAACCAGAGUUGCUGUUUCUGUUUUGUUUUCUGUCAUUGUGUUUUAUUUUAAUAAACUGCAAGAAUUGGGACUAAAUAAAAAUAAAAUAAAAUUUUAUCUAUAAAGUAGACAUCAUAAGCUUUCCAAAGAGUAUUCAUUCACUCAAUUCUGAUAUUUGUAAGUUUUUGUCAGUUGACUAUGAAGUUAAACUCAGUUUUGAGUUGUUAUAACAUAAAUUUAGGACUGUUUUGGAAAAAAUCCACCUUAAACAUUUCUCUGGAAUUUUAUUUUACAUUGUGUGAUUUGUAUGAUAUAAUUGACUUAAUAGCUUAUGUUAUCAUAAUAAUUUUCAAGGUUGAGUGUAUGGUAGUCUUUAAUAUAUGUAUUAAUACAUGAUGUUAUAUUUGUGUGUAUAUGUGUAUGGAUUGUUAUAUAUAAUUCCUAUAUAUUUGAUUAAAGUGAGAAGUAUAUGAUUCAUCCUAGCUAGAUGAAUUCUUCGUCUAUAUACGACGGAAGCGAGGGUAAGUGGGGCACCACUUACGGACGUAAUUAUGUCCAAUCUUACCAAAAUAAAGUUACUAACAAGAAGAGGACAUUAGUAAAACUAAUGUAGUAUUUAUGACAUGCUUGUUAGGUAGAGUUUAAUUCGUUAGAUUACUCACGUCUAAUGACUUGAAUAUUUAGAAAAAGUCAAAACUUUACAUUGAAGAGAAACUCGGGAAAUAAAUAUAGUCCCAAAUUAGGAUGCCAAUUGAUUUAAUUUCAUUUAUUGGGAUCCACUGAGAUGUAAUCUCAUCCAACUUUAUUCAAAUGUGUUACAGGUAAAAAGGCUUAGAUCACAUGUUGAAGAAAUGACGCAUAUCAGUUUACAUUAUAGUCUGCUUAUAAUUUAUGGGGAAUUAUUUUGAACCAUUGAUGUGUUAUGUACUCCAUAUUUCUAUGUUUUUCUUUGAAGGAUUAGUAUGUGUAUGAAUACAUUUUCAUGACUUUGUGUCGGGAUUGUAUUAAUCAUCUCUUUUGUCGAAUUAUGUUAAUGCUCAAGUUAUAUUCUAGACAAUUAAUUUAUGGUAUUACAAUUAUUAAAAUGGUUUUUGUUUUGAAGUGUCAUUAAAUUUUAUUGUUAAAUUUUUGGAAGUGAACUAAGGAAGUCUUAGGAUUCUUGAUGCUUGUUAUAUUAGAAUUUUAGUCUAAAAGAAAUAUUUAGAAAAUGACAUUUUCACUUUAUUUUAUUGAAUUUAUAGUGAGGCAUUGUGCCAAAUAUAAACUCCACAUCUAUUUUUUAUUGUUACUUGUUUGUGUGCUUGCUAAUUUGAGAGAAUUGAUAUCUUUUAAAAAUAUAAAGAAAUUGUGUGUCUUAAAAUCUUAAGCCAACACCAAACCUUGAAUAAGAAUUAGGGAUAGAUGAAUUUUGACACUAAGUGAGUAGUAAAUUAAUUUGUAAAUAUGUAACGUAUUUAGAGUACAUGCCGUUGCGUAGGAAUCUUAAUAAUGACACUCAUAACGGUAAGAACAUUACUCCAUUCACUUUUCUACUUGAAUUAUAUGUGAUAUAAAUGUAUUGAGAUGUUAUGUAUUGGUUUUGUUUGUGUGUUGUCUUCAAAAUAUGUGUUAUAUAAAUUUCAUGUUUAUGAAUGAUAUUUUGAGAUUAAGUAAUUUGUGCAUUUUGAUUGGUAACGGGUGGUUAUUCAAGGUGAUGAUUUUGUGCAUAAACUAGGUUGAUUUAGAAAAAAGUUGAAUAAUUUUGGACGCUCUGAUUCAGUGACCUAUUAUGUUACUAACUAAGGUGAUGGAUAUUCAUGCAUGCAUUGGUGGUCUUAAUCUAGUCGCGAAUACGUGACCACAUUUGAUAGGACGUCACAUAUAGUAUUACUUGACCAAAUAAUGUUGCAAUCAACCUAGAAGGAGAAAUGCGAGGAAACCCAAUAGCAUGCAAUUGGAAGCUCUGAGAUACUUUUGUAUUGGUGUUAGACUUGUUGUGAGGGUUUUCUAGAAGCGUCCUGAAUUAUGACCAACUAUGAUUUAUUUUUUGGUAGUAAAAAUGCCAAGAGUUUUGGAUUUAGGAAUUUCUUUUAUUUUACACAUUAAAUUUACUUUUUGUAAUUGCAAAUACUCUCAUUCAUAAUUUUUUAAAUACAAUUGAAAAAGUUAUUAAUUGGUUUAAAAGUAAAUGAAUAUUUAAGAUAAUUAUAUAUAUAUAUAUAUAUAUAUAUUAAAAAAACAAAUUUGUAUCUUGUCUCAAAAAAGCGGGAUGUUACACCUCUAUUUAAGAAAUUCAAACAUUAUAUUAAAAGAAAAUUUAAACAAAUUCUUCAAAUCAUUUCAAAAUUAUUAUAAUAAUCUAUUAAAUAAAAAUGUAUUAAUUAUAAAUAUUUCUUUACCAUUCUCUACAAAAUUACACUUUAAAUAAUGUGAAAUUUUUACUCUAUUUCUCUCUCUUUUUUUUUUCCCUUCUCUCUCUUUGUACAUUUUUUACUAGUGUUUGGAGAGACGUUUGAAUAGGUUAGGCAUCCCAAGAGUUGCCAAAUCAAAGUAUGAUUAUUAUUAGGGCCAUCUUUAAUAUUUUAGAUGUCUUAUUUUAAUUUUUAAAAUUGGUGAUAAAAAUAAAAUGCAAUUUUUAUAAUUAAAAAAAUAAAAUUAAUUUUUAAUUUCUAUAAAAUUUUAGUUUUUAUUUUAAAAAAAAAUUAUCAAUUUUUUAAUCUUUAAAAAUAAUUUGUUCAUUUUUAUUCUCUAUUUUAAUUGUUUUUUUAAAUUGAUACUUUUAAUAAAAUCAAACUACGGACUAAAAAUGAAUAAUUUUUUUUCAAGACUAAAAUUUGUCAUAAUUUUGCAUGAUUAAAAAUAUAUUUAAUAAAAAAAAUAAACUCUCAUUUUAUCAUAUUAUAAAAAAAGAAUUAAAAUCCAAGAUCCUGUGACUGGAUGCAGAGGACCAUCAUCUACCCCAAGUUGUUCCCCAACAAUUUAUUAGAUUGUGCUUGGUUGGUAGGGUGUGCGAUGUACCUUAUUUUGAUUGUUCUUAAGUUAUUGUCUGGGGACGUUGUAUCUUGAAAAAGUAUAUUUUACUUAAUCUAAAAAUGAGUUUUUUUUUCUUUCUUUUUUAAAUAUAAAAAAACUGUAGCAAAAAUCUCUAAUUCUCACGACUAAUGAAGUUUUGUUACAAUUUUUUUAUAUACAGAGAGAAAAAAAAAAUUAGAUUAAUAGAACAAAAUAGUACGACAAUAUAACUGCACUCAUGAGUUCCACUCAAACCAAUUUAAUUUUAGACGGAAUAAAAUUUAUUUUAAUUGAAUGCUAACGUGGAUUUAAGAAAAUGAUGUGAUGUGUUGACAAUAAAAUAAGUGAAAAGAUUGAGAAAAUACUAAAUAUUGAAUGAGUAUAGAAAAAACAAAGGGCGGCCAGAUAGAUAAAUAAAAAAAAGACAUCAUAAUUUGGUAGUCUAACAUAAAAAAUGCAUAUAUAAAAGUUGCUUACUAGUUUAUAUUUCAUAUACUUAGAUAUCACCAAAGUUUAUCACAACAAAUGGAUUUCAGUACUAAUGAGAAUGAAGAAAAUGAACUGUAUCAUGCUCAAAUCCAUUUGUACAAACAUUUAUAUAGUUUUAUAAGCUCCAUGGCUCUCAAAUCUGCCAUGGAACUAGGCAUAUCAGAUGCAAUUUACAAUCAUGGAAAACCUAUGACUCUUCCUGAAUUAGCAUCAGCUUUGAAACUCCAUCCUUCUAAAGUUAAUAUCCUCUAUCGACUGUUGCGCCUUUUAACACACAAUGGUUUCUAUGCAAAAACAACAGUGAUGAAAGGGGAAGAAGAAGAAGAAAAAACAGCAUAUGCUCUCACACCUCCUUCAAAGCUUCUCAUCAGAGGCAAAUCAACAUGUUUAGCACCAAUGGUUCAGGGAUCACUUAAUCCACUUGCUUUGGACAUGUGGCAUUCCUCCAAGAAAUGGUUCAAUGAAGAUAAGGAGCUUGAACUCUUCGAGAGUGCAACAGGGGAUAAUUUUUGGGACGUUCUGAACGAAGAUUCUGAUAAACUGAGUUUGUUUCAAGAUGCUAUGGCAGCUGAUUCUCAAAUGUUUAAGAUUGCACUCAAAGAUUGUAAGCAUGUUUUUGAGGGUGUAGAUUCUCUUGUUGAUGUUGGAGGUGGAACUGGUGGUGUCACUAAACUCAUCAAUGAAGCUUUUCCUAACAUCAAAUGCACUGUUUUUGAUCAACCACAAGUUGUGGGUAACUUAAUUGGAAAUGAAAAUUUGAACUUUGUUGGUGGAGAUAUGUUCAACUCUAUCCCUCCUGCAGAUGCUGUUUUACUCAAGGUAUGUAUCUUCAUCUCACAAGCUUCGGCACUUUGUUUGACCGUUCUUUAUUUAUUUUUCGUGUCUGAUGUCAAUGUCAGUAUUUGUGUUUCAUUUGUGUUAAUCAAUUGUUAAUUAAUUUUGUCCAUUAUAACAAAUUCUAACAUGCUAAGUUGCCAAUUUUGUAACAUUAUUGUACCAACUAAAUAGUUAAAAUCUCAAUUGUUUUUAUUUUAUUUUUAAAGUGGGUUCUGCAUGAUUGGAAUGAUGAGCUUUCCUUAAAGAUAUUAAAGAAUAGCAAAGAAGCUAUUUCUGGGAAAGGGAAAAAAGGAAAGGUGAUAAUCGUAGACAUAUCAAUUGAUGAAACAAGCGAUGAUCGUGAAUUAACUGAGUUGCAAUUGCACUUUGAUAUGGUGAUGUUGACUCUGCACAAUGGAAAAGAAAGAGAAAAGAAAGAAUGGGAGAAACUCAUAUAUGACGCAGGCUUCAACAGUUACAAGAUUACUCCUGUAUUUGGCUUCAAGUCUCUCAUUGAAGUUUUUCCUUAAUUUUAAUUAGAAGUUGGUGCAAUUAAUUAUGCUUCAAAUCAGAAGUCAAGUUUGUAAUGUUUAUUUUGUCCAAUUUGACAUGAGUUUUCUAAGAUUGUUAUUUACAUAUAGAUUUAACCUUGUUAUUGGUUUUCUCUCGAUAUAUAGAGGAAAUAGACAUAAAGUUGUUUUAAUUUUGAUAAAAGAGUGACAUUAUUUAUUGCGAUAUAUUUUGGGUAUGGUUGUCACGGUUGUUUUUCCUUAGUCACUCACCUUGAGUGAAGAAAUGAAAAAUAGAACAAGAAAAAUAUGGGUUGAUCAAUCAGAAUUAUUAAAUGCGCCUCAAAGAAAAAUAUCUCAGUCCCACGAUAGCUUCGUGUGCUUCACUUUCAGAAUUUGAUGGCAUAAAACGUCAAUCAUGUUAUAUAAAAUGAAAUCAAUGAUACUAUUGAAAAUUUCAAUCUGAUAAUAUUUUUUACAUAAUUUGAAUAAACACGAUGCGGAGGAACCACCACCAUAUUAUUUGGUGCUAUACUAACAUAUCUCAAUAGGUCCAUUUAGUCUGCACUAAUUAAUGUAUUGGUCUAUGAAAGACUAUUUUUUUUUACUGUUAGAUUUAAUAAUCCAUCAUAUCUUAUUAUUUGCUAUCAACAUAAAAUCUAACUCUUCAACUUUGAUAUGCAUUCUCUCUCUUCAUCUUUCCCAUUCAUCAUUAUCAACUCCGAUUAUUAUUACCGUUGCUUUCUCUCUUUAACAUAUUAUGUGUUGUAUUUCUCUUUGUCUAGAUCUAUGCAAUGUAGACAAUCUAAAACUGAUGUGGUUGCUUAAAGGGAAAAGAUGCAGAAAAAAUGGGAAAAGAGUGAGUAUGGAAGAAGAAGAAUAGAUUGAGUGUAGAUGAUGUAUUAUAACACAUGUGAAGUAUAUAAAUAAAUCUGCACCGUUGAAAUUAUUUAAUUAUAUAUCUACAGUUAAAAUGAAAUUGGUCCAUUUUGGACCAUUCUUUUUAGGUUCAUUCUAUAAGAAACGUAUCUCAAAUCGUCAGCUCUAUCAAAUCAGCAUGCCACAUGAUCGUUGGACAAAUUAAUGAGUCAUUCACUAAAAGUAUAACUUGAACUUGUUUGACCACAGAAGUUGGACCAAAGAGUAUUUUGUAAGUAAAAUUCCAUUUUUAGUCUCUUAUUGUAUUUAGUUGGAACAGUUUAGUCUUUUUGUUUUUCUAAAUCGAUUAUUUAUUUUUCAAAACAUGUCAACAUUAACCUUUUUUAAUUUUUGGGAUUUAUUGUUUUAUUUUUUUUGUAUUUUUCUUAAAAAAAAACCCAACAAAAUUAAUGUUCAAAUAUCAAAAUUCUCAAAUUUAAAAAUAAAUCUAAGGUCUAUUUAGAGACGUGUAAAAUAUAUAGUUAAUUAAACUAUAUUAAUCAAUUGAACUGUUGCAUACAAAAAUUAAACCAAUUAAAUAGUUUAUGAAUUGAACAAUAUAUUUAAAAUAAAUUAAUUAAUCAAAUUUCAUUUUAAAAUCAAUUGAAUACUUUUUUUUAACUUCAAUUAAGAUUUUUUUUCUUUAAAAAUUCUCAAAUUUAUUUUAUCGAAUUUGUUUUUAAAUAAUUUAUUUCUCAUAAUAUUUUUGGUGAUUACAAAAAGAAGAUGACAAUAAGUUUAGCAUGAUUUUAGCACGUGAAAAUCAAUGAAUAUUAGAUGGAUACAUAAUCACGUGAUAUUUUUAACAAGGUAUACAAGAUUCGAUCCGUCCUGCGAAUUCGUCUUGUACCGUAAGCAAUGGGACGGGUUUGACCUAGUUCUAAAAAAAAUAAGGACAAAUGAAAAAAUGAAUGGGUUCAAAUUAUCUCUUGGGUUACUCAUCUUAAAUUAAUUUAAGUAUAAAUAAUUAUAUUUUUUUAUGAUUUUAGGUUAUUAUUGAUUCAUGCUCUCUAAAAAAAUUAGUCACUAACUUAAUAAUUUAUAGUUUGUUAAACAAUAUUAUGAUUUACUACUCUUGAAUAAAUUGACAUAACCAUAUGGGAAUUAUUAUGAAUUUCUUUGUGUUUAAUUGUUUUUUUCUAAAACAAAAUUUAAAGAUUACUAUUUGGUAUUUCGUGUUGGUACCAAGUCGGUCUCGUCUUUAUUUUGUCUAGUUCACAAUGAACUUGUAACUCAUGGGGUUUGAUUGGGUUAAAAAACAGAUUAUGUUUAAAAUAUGUCUCGAUCAAAUAUUGAGACCAAACAAGAGACACAUCAAAACCGACCUAAGUGUCAUUUCUACACUCCUAAUUUUUAGUGUCAAAAUCUAAGAGGAAAAAAGUUUCUCUCAGAUCUAAACCGUUUCUAUUGAGUUGCAUUGUCUGGUUGCUUUGGGUGCGGAAGAUUUUUUUACUUAAAUAAUCAUGCUUGACUUAAACUGGCACUUUAUUUUGUUAUUUUGUUGUGAAUAACUUUUUUAUGAAUAUCCAUACAUUUUCGAUUUAGAAGUAGUCUCACAGAAGUUUGUACCAAUUUCUAUCUUUCUCUUGGUGGGUUUAUUUUUCAAGUGAUUUGAAGCACACGAGAGUUCUGUUUUUUAUAGAUAUAUCUCUCACUUUUUGAAAUAUAUAUUUUUAUAAUAUUAUUUAGUAGAACUUUCUAUUGUUAGCAAAUGCAGAAAAAUCUUGAAGAGAAAUGAGUUGAGUAAGAAUCACACUCUAAAUGCUUAUUUACUUUGUAACGAUCUGAAACAGAUUUGUUUUUAGUUUCUGUUUCUCAUAAACUAACAUGACCUAUUGACCUUAUUUUCCUUUCCUUGAUUAAGUAGCAAAAGGAAAAAAAACAAUUACUGUUCCAAUUAUCUCCACGCAAAAUACAAGCUCGGGAAAUUCAUUUCUAACAUGAAGCACUGGACACUAUUAAUAUGACCCUAACAACUUCAAAUUUAAAUCAAGAAUAAACUUCAAUGAGAGAGUUAAAGUCACUUAUGGGGUUAAUUUUAUAGCUACUGAAACUUGUAUCGUAAAUAAGUUUCUCCCAGUUUUUCUUUCUUUUUCAAGGAACAUUCUCAACAUCCCCAAAUCAUAGUCGAAUUGCAACCCAACUAAUCCACGGUCAUCACUUGUUUCCAUCUUUCCCUUUUCUAGAAAUAGCUUCUUUAAUGUUAUUCAAUAUCUUCAAAGAUUGUUCAUCAUUCCAAUUGUGUAGAACCCACUAUAAUAAAACAAUUGAUAUUUAAUUUAGCUAUUUGGCUGUACUACAAGAAUAAAUAGAUAUAUCUAGGGCCAUUAAGCCCUCACAAUAAAGCCUUAGAAAAAUGCUUAAGUUAUUUUCAAGUACCAAAACCUUAGGAAAAUACUGUCUUUUUGAGUUUGUGAGGGUCAAAGUCAUUGGUAUUGACAUUAAAACAUUGUUAGAGCUAAACUCCUCGGUGAAAUCCUCGAUUAUACUUUCAAACCAUCUAUUAUACUUUCAUCACUACUUUUAUUCUAAUGUAUCUUUUAUCUAUUUUCCAGCUCCCUUAUACUAGUAUGUAAAUUAAUUAUUUUUUUAUAUUAUGUACUUUUUUAUUAUAUAUUUAUGUGUUUUUUUAAUGUAGUUUUGGAGUUAGCAUAUUUAUAGAAAUAAUGUUACGUGUGAAAUGUGAUUUGCAUGUUAUAUUUCAUAACGUAAAAUGUGUUUGAUAUAAAAAUAUGAAAAUUAAAAUUUUAGAUGAUCGAUUUUGAAUUUUUAUGUAUAUUGUAUUUAUUGUUCAUUUUUAGAAAAUAUGUUAAUUUGUAUAUUUGAAAAUAUGUAAAUGCUAUUUUAUAUUUUAAUGAAAAUUUAUUCAAUUUUAUAUAAAUUUAAAAGUAUGUAUUUAGUUGUAUAAAUGAUUUAUUAUAAUAUAUUACAAUUUUAAUAAAAAAUUAUAAAUUUAAUUAAAUUUUUACCAGAAUAAAUUCAUAUAAUUAAAUUUAAAUUUUAUUAUAAUUGAAUUUUUAUAAUUUUUAAUAAAUAAAAUUAAAUCAUUUGAUUUUUAUAAUAUUAAUAUAAAAUAAAAUAUUCUAAUUUAAUUUUUUAUUUAUUUGUAGCAUCAUUUCUGAGUGGCAGAGCACUGAUAUGUAAUACUUGUGAGGGUCAUAAUUCUAACAAAGAUUCUCACACUUGAGAUUUGUGAGUGUCGUGACACUAGAAAAGAUUAUGUUGCCAGCGUCACUGCCCACUUUCAUUUGUGAGGGUGUUGGCCUUAUGAAUGAUUCUUGUUUUUAAAAGCUUGUUUUUUGCAUUUCAGCCUUAGGUAUCAAUUUCCGACAAACAUCAUACUUAGAGUCCUGUGGCCUUAGGAAUGUUUCAUUUUCCAGGACGUUUUUAUUUAUCAUUUUUCAGGGCGUUUGACCUUAAAAAAAAUACAUAAUUGUUGUAGUGCUGAUAUAGACUCUAACAAGCUAAGUUACGAAAAUUUGUAACAUUUUUGUACCCAGUGUAGAAGCUAGCCAUAAUUUAAGGAGGGGCUAAACAUAAAAGAAAAAAUAAAACAUAUUUUUUAAAAUAAUAUAUUAAACUUAACUAAUAACUAAAAAAAUCACAAUAAUUUUUAUUUAUAUAAAAUAUAAAUUAAAACAAUAUAAAGAAAAUAACAACUAACAAUAGUUAACUAAAAAAAUUGAGUUUAAUGACGUUUUAAAUAAUCAAACUCAUUUGAUGCAUACUAAAUAGACUAACAAUAUCUCUUUUAAUAUAAACAAUUAAUUUAUAUACAAGAAACUGGUCAUCUGUUUUAUUUAUGAGUUUCAUUAUCAACAAUGAAAUCGAUUAAGAUAGGACUUGUAAAUAAACUAGACGAUAAAUUUUUUUGCAAAUAUUUAGUUGUUUACGUUGGUAAACUCUACGUCCGUAAACUCUACUUUUCAAAAUAACUAUCAUUAAUUUUUAUUUUUUGUGGGACUUUAAAUUAUAUUUUAUAUAACAAAGAAAAUAAUUGUGAAUUUUUGUGUUAAUCAAUUAAAAUUAAUUUUAAUUAAAAAUAAAUUGAAUAUAAAUUCAUUUAUGUUUAAAUACAUUAAUACAAAAGUAAAUCUCAUAAAUUUAUAUUUUUUUGGAUAGUUGGAUCAAAAUUGGUUUUUAAUAUAUAGUUAAUGAAAUGGGUAUUAAAUCUUAGAUUUUAAUUUUAUUUUAGAUCAUUAUUUAAAAAAAUUUAUAAUUGUUUGUCCUAUUUUUAGGAGAUAUUUCUUUUUCAUUUAGAUAAUUGAUUAAAUUUAUUUUUUCUACGGGGUUGUUUAAACUUAGGCAAAAUUAUUAAAUUUAUAAAAUUGUAUUAUAAUUAAAUUUAUCUUGGUAUACUUUUUAAAAAAAUCUUUAAAAAAGACUCUACAUAGGCGUUGAAUUUUUCCGAUUUUUCUUGUUACAUGAUUCUUUUCCUUAUAUUAAUCCACUAAAUUAUUUUUAACUUUGGAGAGUAGUACUUUCGAAAAAAACGAUAAUCCUUUUUAAAGUAUUAAAUUGAUCUUUAUAUUUAGUCAAUUACUAUUAAUCAUGUUUUUUUUUUAUUUUAACAAUUUAUUAUCAAUUUAAUCUCUAUAUUUAACAUGUUACUAUCGAUUUAGUCAUUAACCUACUUUCACAACGACUAGUACGAGUAACAUUCAACAGAAUUAUGAACUUUUUUAAAAUAUUCAUAAUCUCACUAAUCUAUUUGAAAUUUAUAUAGUUAGAGACAAAUUGAGUGUUUUACUCCUUAUAUUAAAAAGGAUAGUUAGAUAAAAGACUACUAUUGGAGAGAUGCAAUGAAAUUAAUUUGAAGAGAAAUAGUAAUAAGAUUCUUAUUCUUUAAAAAUAAAUUACACAAAAAGUGGUAAAAUCCAUAUAAAUUUUACACAAUAAAAAAAUUAGUAUUAAAAAAUAAUAUUUCUUACAUUUUUCAUAAUUUAAAUACAACAGAAGUUACAAAAUCAUAUUUCUGUCGAAGUUGAUUCCAAAAUGUAGAAUAAAUUUUGCUUCAAACAUCCAAACAGUUUAAUAGCAAGAGUUGGACUAUGUUUGACUAAUGUAACGAUGAGUUUGGGAUUGGGAUUGGGAUUGGGACGUGCAACCAAAAUUUUACUAAAUGUGUGUUUAGUUUAAGAAGAAAGAAACUAGUUCAUUUUUCUCUCUAUGAUCUCUCUCACAAAUAUUUUUUCAAUUCAAAACAUGUGAAGAAUUAGUGUUAUUUUUAGAGACGUUGAUGAUGUUGUUUUAGUUGUUAGUCUCGAAUUCCACUUGAUCAUUCAGUUUGCUUUAUAUUUAGACUUUUGUCGUAUCUUGAUUGAUGGGGACUCCUUAAACACUAUUCACACAUUGCUCAUUUCAUCCAUCCACAGCACGUACUUUGGUAUAAUUAUUUAGGAUUGUCACACAAUUUCUUCUUCCUUUUUUCUACUUGUUUAUUUUCUCAUAUAAGAAGAAUUACAAUUCGGCUACAAUUUUAGCUAAUUUUAGCUUAAACUCCAUUGACUUUAUUUAGAUUGAUGAAGCCUUCAUAUAUAAUCUUAUUAUGACAGUAAGUUAUCCUAUAAAAAACAUACUUUUCCUAUUUUCUCAAAGUAUUUGUUUCUAUUUCAUUUUGUUUACAAAAGUAUUUUAUUUUUGCAUCAUCGUGAAGGAUUGAUACUCCCUUUUUAUUCAUGCAUGACACUUUUUCAAAAGAAAAUAAUAAUAAUAAUAAUAAUAAUAAUAAUAAUAAUAAUAAUAAUAAUAAUAAUAAUAAUAAUAAUAAUAAUAAUAAUAAUAAUAAUAAAAGAUAUAAGGCCAAUUUGAAGUACUAAGCCCAAUGAAAAACAAUAGGGCCGAUUAUCUUCCAAAAAGAUUUCGGUAUUUUUUUAAUUCUAUAAUUAAUUCAGUAGUGUAAAAUUCUAAUCUUAUAGUAAAAAAAUAAUAUUAAUGAUAUUGUAAAAAAUUCAAUUUGGUAAUAAUUUUUACAUCCCCACAAAAAUUAUAGGCUCAAUUAGAGAAAAAGCAUUUAAUUAUUAAAAAAUCAAUAAUACUAGUAGUUUUUUUUUGUUACGCUGAUUCUAGUUCAAUGGUAAUGGGAGGAACAAAAACUAACAUACUUUCUUUAAAAUACUUAAGAUGUUUUUCAACAAUUUUUUUAGUAAUCGUAAUUUCUGUAUUUAACUACAAUAUUCACAAUAGAUUAAAACAAAAUAAUAAAAAAAAUGUUUUCAAGAACUACAAUAUUUUCUAUGUAUUUAGUUUUCUUUGUUCUUUUUCUGAAAUUUUCUUAAAAAAUAUUUAAAAAUUUGUUUUAACUGUUUUUUAUGAAAAAAAACGGAACAGUACAUUAAAAAAAAGACCCUUUUGUAAUAACAAAAUUUUCAAAACUCAAAACACGUAUGCAUUGUAAUAAGCAAAAUAUUACGAUUAUUAUCGGGAGUUUCUAUCGUACAUCUAUAAAUUCAAAUGUUUUACUAUAUUUGUUUUAUAAAUUAAUUAAUUAAUAAUUAUUUUUAUAAGUCAAACAAUUAUUUAUUAAUUUUUAUAUGGCGUAGACAUUUAGAUCUAUUUGCUGCCCACUAAUAAUAAUAAUUUUUAUUGUGUUGUAUCGUCAGGUUUCUUUGGGUCGGCAAAAUGUUUUUUUUCAUAAAUAAUCACGAUUGACUUAAACCGUCACUCCAUUUUGUUGUGAAUACAUUUUUUAAUGAAUAUCCAUACAUUUUCUCUGUGAGAGAGUAGUCUCACAGCAGUUUGUACCCCAAUUUAUUAGUAUAUCUUGGUGGAUCUUCACGUGAUUUGAAGCGGGACCACUUCAGUUUUUUAAUAAAUAAAUAUCUGUCGACUGUUUGAAAUAUUAUACUUUUAAAAUAUAUUUUAGUAGUAUCUUUCUGUAGAUAAUUGUCAAAAUCAUUCAGAUUUGAUGCGAUAAUUGUUGCGUGGUUUGUUUGAGAGAAAAUAGUUGUCAGAAUUUUAUUUUAUUAAUAGAAAAAUUAAAUAAAAUUUUAAAUGAUAAUUUUAAAUAAAUUUUUUGAAUUUAGAAGUCAACAUAAGUAGGAAAAAUAUUAUUAUCGUAAGUGUCUCUCAAAACGACUAUCUUAUAAUUAAUUAUAUAUAAAUUAUUUAUUUAUUAAUUAUUUAUUUUACUCAAAAAUAAUAAAUAAAUAAAAGACAAUAAAUUAUUUACAUUAAUAAAAGAGUAAUUUUUUUUUUAAUUUGAUUUAACAAAAUUAAAAAAUUUACUGUUACGUAUUCUCAUAUGCAAUGGAGAAUCAAAAUACACGUAGUUCUUAGUAUAAAAUAUUUGUAUGUUGGUCAAUUUUAAUUUUUAUUAAUUUUAAUUUCUAAUUUAUUUGUGUGACUAUCAUGGGGGACUAAUAUCGCGCAUUGAAAAAUAAUUAGGUGGUCCAACAAUCGACAAAUUCGAUUUGGUGAAAAAGAUAACAAAUAUGUUGUAUUUUUAUUUUUAUCUUUUUUAAUUAUCUUAUUUUUUAAAGUAUUUUCAAGUUUACUUAAAUGAGUAUUUGUGUGAAGUUUGUAAUUUUUUAUAUAAUACUAAUUGUUGAAGAAUGCGUUUUUUCAAUUCAAUAUUUUAUAUUUAGAAUAUGAAAAUGAUUUUUUUUUAAAAAAAUUAUAACAUCAUAUAUACAAAACAACAAACUAUAUAGUAUUAUAAAAAAAGGGAAAAUAAUCGGCUAUAUGAACAAAGUUAACAUGAAAACAAUAAAUAAAAACGAAGAAAUUGGUUUAUAAAAAAGAUACAUGAAAAGCAACAAAAAUAAUAAAAAAAAAAUAAAAAAAAAAACUAUUGUACUAGUUUGUUUCAGAUAAACAAAAUUUACAUACCGAUUUUUCAAGAUCGUUUUGUCUCCUUUUUAUCUUUGUCUUUUAUUUUUCUUUUUAUUUUUUAAAAUGGGUGUUUUUAGAGAAGAUUGUGUAAGAAUAGCGCAACAUGUGGACAAAUUGCAACACGUAACACGGAUUGAUAUUUUCUAAUCUCCCAUUCUAAGACUCUCAUAACACUCUUAUUUUUAUUAACAAAUUAGCUUAAGUAAAUUUUAAAAAUAAAUGUCUAUCAUUAUGAUUAAUAAAGGUGAAUCCUCAAAUUUUAUUUUUCUAAUAAAAUAAAAAUAAAAAUUUUCUCAAAUUCCAAAAAUCAUAUUUGUCACAUUAAAUACAAACAAAACAAAUCAAAAGCAUUGGUAUUUAAUUUACUCCAAAAUAUCUCAUAUUUAUUAAUCUUAUAUUUAAUUUCAUUUUUUUUUCUAUUAAAUAAAAUAAAAUAAAAAUGAAUUAAUAUUUUUUAUUACUAUGUUAUUAUUGGACCAAAAAAGUGAUAAUUAAUAAUACAUAAAAAGUCUAACAUAUAUCUCUUUUUACUAACAAGAAAAUAUUAAAUAUUAUACGAAAAUUUAAAUAAAAAUUAUAUAUUAAAAUAACAAAAUAAAAAGUUAGGAUACAAAGUCCAAAACACCAUUUUUGUUAUUUUUUUUAAAAAUAAUAAGAAAAGCAAAUAAAAUUUGGUGUCGGCAAUUCUAAUUUAUAUUUACUUAGUUGAUUUGUACAUAUAGAAUUGUAUAUUAUUUCCUUUAUUAGACAUAGUUUUAUUGAGAACAAUAUUAUCUUUGAUCCUUAGAUCGACAUGGUAUCAGAACACGAUUUGAACCAUCUCUAGCACUUUUUUGUUUUGCACCUGCUCUACCAUGUCUACAUGCCUUGAGUCUUCUUCUUCCACUGUGGGGAUUGGUACAACUCUAACCAGUCUCAUUGAAGGGCCAAAUCUUCACCUUCCUAUUACUGACCACAAACUAAAUGGUCAGAAUUUUAUUCAAUAGGAAAGGUCACCCCAUCUUCCUCCAAUGAAAAGGAAAAGGAAAAGGAAAAUAUAUAUAUAUAUAUAUAUAUAUAUAUAUAUAUAUAUAUCACACACACAUAUAUAUCACACACACACACAAAACUGCAAAGCUCAAAAAACGAGAUUCAAACCAUGAAAAUGACAGUUGGAAAAUAGCCUUUUCAUUUCUUGGCUCCUCAACACCAUGACCAAUGACAUUGGGGAAAAAAUUAUGUACUAUAACAUAGCUAAAGAAAUGUGGUAGGUUGUGAAAGAAACGUAUUCCAAUCAAGCUAAUACCUCUACUAUAUUUGAGAUCAAAAGCAUUCUCCAUGAUCUCAUAUAAGGUGAGCAUUAUGUUAGUGAGUAUUUCAACAAUCUUAUUAAGCACUGGUAGCAACUAGAUAUUUAUGAAGCUAUUGAAUGGAAAUGUCCAGAUGAUAAAAAGCAAUAUAAGGAUUUUGUGAAUAAUUCAGAUUUGAUAUGAUUUGGAUUUGUAUUUAAUUAGUUGAUUGGUCCAGCCAUAAUUGCAUAUUAUUUCCUUUAUUAGACAUACUCUUAAUGACAACAAUAUCUCCUCCUUGUCUGUAGGCCUAGAAUUAAUUAUUAGGACCAUAAAUUUGUUUAUAUAUUUCCUUCUUGUAGUAUUCAAAUUGAUAAAGUGAAUAAACUAUCACCUUUCUCCAUUUCCCUCUUAAAUAUGAUUUAAUUAAAAAUCACUUCAUUUAAUUUGUCAUAAGUAGAAAAAGGGAACACCAAUGACUUUUCCAAUUGGAACAAUGAUCUCUACACCAAUAACAAGUUUGGGAAAUUCGUUUCUUAUAGGAAUCAAUAAACACCAAUACAAUCCAAAAAAAUAAAGACGCUAUUAAUUUGACUCUCAAAUAGAAACUUAUUAAAUAUGAGGCAUAACUGGACCCAAGCUGCUUCAAGUUAAAGUUAAGGAAAAACUUCAAUGAUGGACUUAAAGCCACUUAUGGUUCUAAUUUUGUAACUACUGAAACCAGCAUCGUAAAUAAGUUUCUCCCAUUCUUUCUUUUCUCUUUCUUUUCCAAGGAACAUUGUCAGCAUCACCAAAUCAUAGUCCAAUUGCAACCCAGUUAAUUCACGAUCAUCACUUGUUUCAUCGAUUGAUAUGUCGAUGAUAAUCACUUUUCCAUCUUUCCCUUUGCCAGAAAUAGCUUCUUUACUGUUCUUCAAUAUCUUCAAAGAUUGUUCAUCAUUCCAAUCGUGUAGAACCCACUAUAAGAAAACAAUUGAGAUUUAAUUUAGCUAUUUGGUUGAUACAAAAAUAUGCAGCUUAUUUAGUAUGCCUUAGUUUUUAUGAUAAUUGUAAUACACUGUGACGAGAAUUUAAACAUAAUUCUCUAUUAUGUAACUCUAAACUACCACAACCACUAUGCACUCAAAGAAAUAGGCUCAAUAUAUCAAACUACAUGAUCAAUCAUUCUAGGUAGGGGGAAAUUUAGUAUUCUAUUCCUACUUAAUUUGUUACUAAUUGAGUUUAGAUUUGGUGUCAUCGACUACACUAUAGUCAGCAGUCAGCACAUCUAAAUCGUCUUAUUAGGAUUGAACGAUUUAAAUUUCAAGUUCGAAUUUAAAUUAUUUUAAAUCUAAAAAUUCGUGUUUGAAAUUUCAAUUAUUCGAUCUCAAUGUGACCAAUUGCAACCAUUCUCAGAUUAUUAAUAUUGACAAUUAAAAAAAAAAAGUAAAAAUUGAUGAGCAAAUAUACCUUGAGUAAAACAGCAUCUGCAGGAGGAAUAGACUUGAACAUAUCUCCGCCAACAAAGUUCAAAUUUUCAGUUCCAGUUAAGUUACCAACAACCUGCGGUUGAUCAAAAACAGUGCAUUUAAGGUGAGGAAAAGCUUUAUUGAUGAGUUUAGUGACACCACCAGUUCCACCUCCAACAUCAACAAGAGACUCCAAACCCUCAAAGACAUGUUUGUUCUCUUGAAGAGCAAGCUCAAACAUUCUAGAAUCAGAUGCCAUAGCAUCUUGAAACAUACUCAAAGUAUCAGAUUGUUUGUUAAGAAAGUCCCAAAAGCUCUCCCCUGUUGCGCUCUCAAACAGGGUUUGUUCCUUAUCCUCAUUGAACCAUUGCUUAGAAGCACUCCACAUGUCAAGAGAACUUGGAUGAAGCGCUCCUUUAACAAUUGGUGCUAAACAUGUUGAUUUUCCACUCACAAGAAGCUUUGAAGGAGGUGUGAGAGAAUAUGCUAUUUCUCCUUCUCCACCUUCUUUGGCAUUCACUGUUGUUUUAACAAAGAAACCAUUGUAUGUUAAUAGGCGUAAGAAACGAUGGAGGAUGUUAACUUUAGAAGGGUGGAGUUUCAAAGAUGUGGCUAAUUCGUUAAGAGUCAUGGGUUUUCCAUGGUUGUCGAUUACAUCUGCUAUGCCUAGUUCCAUCACAGAUUUCAGUGCCAUGGAGCUUACAAAGUUGUAUACAUGUUUGUAUAAAUGGAUCUGAGCACGGUACAGUUCAUUUUCUUCAGAACCGUUGCUAUUGAAAUCCAUUCCUCUUUUCUUCUUUGACUGUGUCUUGUGUUUUGGUGGAAAUCGAUAUGAAGAAAUUAAACUAUAGUGUGGAGUCUUUAUAAUGACUUCUCUCCUAAGAAACAAUCAAUUAUAAAUUAAUCAACAUCAUAUAUUUUCUCUCCUACCAAACUAAUUAAAUAUAAAUUAAUCAAUUAGUUUGUUUGUUUAAGAAAUUUAUAAAAUAUUUUUUUUUAAAACAAAUUUUAUGAUAAUUUAUUUAAAAAUAAUAUAAAUUAUAUUUAGACUCGCUUAUUAUUGAUUAAAAAAAAUUAUUUUUGACACUUAAGAAUUUAAAUAUUUAUUAUUAUUAAUUUUAAUAUGAUAAAAAUUAUAUUUAUUUUUAAAAAAAUAUUUCUUUUAAAAUAUGUUAUUUAUGUUGUUUUCAUCUAACAAGUGGAUGAAUAUUAAAGCGUAUCUUGAAAAAAGACUCUUCUUAGCACUAUUUAAUUAUUUAAAUUAAUUUAUCAUUGUAAAUUUGAUUUUAAAAAAUUAUAAAUAAAAAAUAUUUUAAAAAUUAUUUAUUUUAAAAAUCCUAAAUAAAUGGAUUAUAUAUUUCAUUUGUUUCUUAGAAAAACAUCAAUCAAUUUUAUUUACUCACUUAUAUUCUAAGAUUGAAAAGUAUCUAAUAGUAUCUCAGAGAAAAAAUAAUGGACUACGUUGUUUUGUUGUUAGGCAUCAUAGAGGCGGCGAUAUAUUAGGAUCAGACACAGUAGAGGUAAGUGAUGUUGUUGUGUGAGGGGGGAGUAGGUGAAAUUUUGGGUAGGUGAGGACUGAGAACUGAGGACUUGAUGAGUGAAGAUGGCUCAGUGAGGGGGUUAGCUAGCUAUUUUACUUUUUCUUGUUCUUUCUUAUUUGCCACCUACCAAUUUUGUUUGACCAUAUCAUAUCUCAUUGAUGUACUUAUUUUAAACGAGUAUUAUUAAUUUGUGACAGUACUUCUUAUAAUUUUGUCCAAAAAAUCUAUCGAUUCUAUAGUUUUAGUUAAAUUUAUUAUUGUAAAACUUGAUUAAAAGUUUAAUGAUUUCAUACGGUUAUUCUUUAUUUAUUUUUUAAAAAAAUUACAUACACCAAACAAUUUUUUUCCAUUGUUUUCAAAUAUAAUUAUAUUUAUUACUCCAAAUUAAAUAGACAACAUUUUAGAAUUUUUUUAUUUUUAAAUCACAACAAAGACUAGUCUAUAGUGACCGCCUACUUAUCAUGUACACUAUGAGUAAUUGACAAAGAUGUGUGCCCACUUUCAAACAAUUACGAAAAUAAAGAUAUGGGUCCUUGUCAAGAAUACACCUUUAUUGAAAUGUUAAAAGAAAGUUGAUUGAUGUCACUUAAAUUAAUCUAUAAAUUUUAUAAAUUAAUACAUAUAUUUUUAAAAUUAUAAAAUAUUAAUUUAAAUAAUAAAUGUUUAAAUUUUUAUCAUUUUAGAUUAUCAUAUAACAUUACAAUGGAAUAUUUGACUUUUUUACAUUGAUUUUAUAUUAUUUUCAUUAAAAUGCAAACUAAUUUUUUUAAUAAAAUUUAUAUCUUUUAUGGACUUCUUUGUCUAUAAUUAAUUAGUGCACAAUUACAAUUAUUUACAAAUUUAUCACUCAGACACCAAAAUUUUAUAGACAAAAUUGUGUCAUAAAUAUUAUAUUAAUUUAAGAUCAAUGUGAAUAAGUAAUAUAUUUAGCUAUUAUGUCAUAUCAAAAUAGUAAUGACAAAAAUUUAUAUAAGAAUUGUUUUGAUUUAAUAUUUUAUAAUUUUAAAUAUACAUUUAUCAAUUCAUAAAAUUAAAAAUGACUAAUACUUACAAUUUCAACGAUCAAUUUUUAUUUUUACUUUUUUUGUAAUCAGUCAAAGAGCGAUAAUAAAUAUUACUCCUUCACUAUUUUUUAUAAAAAAACCUGAAACCUAGACUAAAGGAAUUGAAAGUAAAAAUAAAAAUAGAAACUUGAAGAAUCGUAACCUAAAUAUAUUCCAGGAAAAUGCACAUCUCAUAGUUUCUUCUCCUUCAAGAAACAACAAAGUUCUUCAUUUCUGUCCAAACGUGAGAGUAGGUGGCCGGCCUCCUUAAAAAACUGACAAGACUACAAAGUACAAACCGAGAAAAAGAAUUAGAAAAUGGAUAGAAAAAAAAUAAAGAAAAAACUUUCCAUAAGGGCUUACAAUUGUACACAUAGCCACUGCCUCCUCCGUACCCCGCACUCGACUUAUCAGAGAAAAUUCACACUCGCAUCUGUUUUAUAAUGGGUGUGAAAUUUAAAUCUUCAUCUAUGCCUACAAUGGAGUUUGGGUUUCUCCGUCCACACCCGUAUUCAUUUAUAUAUAUAGAAUUAUAAAUUUAAAAGUUAUAUAUAUAUUAUAAUUAAUAUAAUAAAAUAAUUAUUAUUAGAUAAUAAUAAAAUAAAAAUUUAUUUUCUAUAGAGAUAACAUUAUAAUUUUUAAUACUUUAAAAAAUAUUAAGUAUAUUUAAUAUGUAUAUGUAUAGAAAAUUCAAAAAUUACUAUAAUAUAACUUGCGGUGCGGGUUCGAAUUCAUGUACUGCGUGGAUAUCAACACCCCCUAAACCCGUCUCUGCCUCCGAAAUUUAAUUUCGGGGAAAAUCCGCAUCCGCACCCAAUUAAAGCGGGUUUUCCCUAUCCAAAUCAAACGAGUUUUGAUGGAUAUUCGCAAAUGCGUAUUAUAUUGUCAUCCCUAGCCACCACCACUCUAUUCCCAAUGUCUACAAAUCUAAACUAUUUUUCUCUCAUUGUCCUCUCUAGCCCUCUAAUUCCCUUUAACUAACCAAAACCCCGAUUAUUUUUAAGCACAUUAUUACAAUUCCUGAUUUAAUUUAUUAAUAAGAAAUAAAUAAAUAAAAAUAAAUUAAAUGAUAUUGAUAAUAAGAAGAAUUAAUUACAUGAAUAUUUAAAAAUAUUUAUAUAGUUAAUUAGAUAAACAACUAAUUAGUAUAACAUAACUAACUAGUUAGUAUAACAAACUUAACUAAUUAAUCAAUUAAGAUAUUUAACAUCCCCUCAAGCUAGAAUGCGGUUAUCACAUUUCUAGCUUGGAAAAUGUAAAAAAAAAAUUGUCGAAAAAGUCAUUAAUUACAAAUAAUAUAAAAUGUCAAAAUACAUCCACUAAAGGAUUUUGAAAUGUCGGAAAUAAAUCGGCAAAAGAUUUUGAAUGGCGAAAAUACAUCAACUAGGAAUUUUGCCAAAAAUACUUUGGUUAAAAGAUUUUCAACACCAAAAUACACCAAUUAAACGAUUUUUUUUUUUAAUAUUUAUUUUUUGUUUGAAAUAAGAACAAGAAAUAUUAUAAUACAAUCUUCUUUUUUUCUUUUUUUUGUAGUAGGCGUCGAAUCAAAUCUAUCCCUCAUGUAAGAUCUUUUCUUGUCUUUCUUUCUUGUGAACAAAAUCUCACAUGCAAUUUAUUGGUAAUUAGUUUAAACUUGUAGAUGAGAAUCUAAUUAUAGAUUUUUUUUCUUCUAGAAACAAGAAUAAUCUUGCAUUUUUUGUGUUGGUAAGUGGAAAUCUAAAAUCUACACUUCCAUGCAAGAUCUUUACUUAGAUUUUUUAAUGUCAAUUUAACUAAAAAAUUACAAAUGUCAUUAAGUGUCACGUGAGAGUAUCAUAUAAUAAAAAAUUGGUGGAGAAGAAAAAAAAUCACAAGAAUUAAUUAAAUCUUCACUAAAAAACAAAAAGACUACAAUUAUAUUUUUGACCAAAUAGAAACAAAAAAUUGAAGAACUAAUUAUGUAACUCAGUUAAAAUAGAGAUAAAAACUGACAUUAAGUCUAACGACUUUUAUUAGGAGGAUUCCUGUGUACCUAGGAACCAAAUACUUUCAUCUCACUCGCGUCACGUGCCGCAUAAUUCAAUUAAGUGGAAAAUUUAGUAACUUGUCGUAAUUUUUUAUUUUCUUUUUUUGACAAAGACGUCAAUAUUGGCAACCCGCAACCCAAUCGCCUUGACCGUUCGUGCACGAUGGACAAAAAUAUAAUUAAUUAAUAUUAAUUCUUUCCUUGAAGAUCGUCGAAAAGUCACUGGCUGCAUUUUCUUGACCGAGUUUAUUCAACAGUUGAAUCAGAUACUCCCUUUGAUAUCUAAUAAAAUUCACAUUUUUUGUAAUAAAAUUAAUAAAUUUUCUCAUAUUUGAUGUAAAACUAACCCAUAUUUAAUAUCACUCAUCUCUUAACUUUCAUUCUUUUAAUAUUAAACAUAUAUUAAAAAAUAAUAAGUUUAGAUAAAAUUAAUUUUUUAUUUUUUAUUCAGCAAUUAAAAAAAAAUUAUUUAAUAUAUGUUUUCAGAUUUUUAAUAGCACAAAAGAAAAACAUCAUAAAUUAUAUAUUGAGUGUUUGAAAAAAUCAAUUUUUUGUAAAAUAAGAAAAAUACUUAAAGGAAUCAAAGGUCCACAACAGAUGGUGAACUACGAUUUUUUAUAUUUUUAAAGUUUAAUUUCACAUUUAAUAUCUUGUUUUACCACAUUCACAAAAAUAAUUCUAUUUUAAAGUUAAAUUGCUUUUAUUUCUAUUUUUUUUAUUUUUUUUAGCAAUUUAGAUUCAAAAUUAUAAUUUUGAUCUAUCAAAUUGUGAUUUUUAGUAUAAAAAAUGGUGAUUCAUAACCCUCAUUUGUAAAUUUGAAGAAAAAUAUAAUUUUAAGUGCAAAAAAAACUAUUUUUUGAACUAAAAAUCAUAAUUUUAUAGGUUUAAACUAUGUUUUUGGACCUAAACAACAAAUGUGAAAAAAGAUGGAUCAAAAAAUUUGUUUUUUUAAAUAUGAGGACUAUUUGUGAAUAUGUAAAAAUAAGGGAUCAGAAGUACAAUUAAGUCUAUUUUAAAUAUCUUAUUUAUUAGUCAUUACAUUAAGAUAAUUUAGACAAUAAAUUUAAUUUUUUUUACUUGAAUUACAUAAAUUAAAUGUGAUCAAUAUAAUUUUUUUUUUAAAGAAUUUAACAAAUUUUAUUGUAAUUAACUCACACAACUGAAAUGUCUCAAGUUCGAACCCGAGCAAGACGUCUAACCUAACAGUAUCGGUAUUUGUCAGUUGAUCUAGGAGUUAAGGACACCAAUAACAUUUUUUUAAUACGUAGAAUUUAACCAUUUUUACGUAUACUAUAAUUCAUUUCGAAUAGAGUAGUAUUACUUCACUAAUUGCAAAUUAGCCUCAAUGAUAAGUAAAAUUACAUACUUUAACACUAACUCCUUUAACCUAAAACAUAAGCAACUUUAUGUCCACAAAAAUUGAUGUAUUUGUUUCAAAAUAUGAAUUUGAUCAAUUAACUUUCAUUGACACAAAAUUACUAAUAUUUAAGGCUAAAGCUAGUACCAAGGAUGGUAGUUAAAUUACUAAUUUAUCCAUAAUGAUUAUAGUCAUCUCUCACAAUAUUAAUAAAUUAAUGCAAUGAUAUUUUUUAAACAAUUUCUUUUACAGAUGGAUAAUGUAAUACUGCGGGUCCAAAAUCCCAACCCGAGAAUCAUUAUCGUCAAGAACAACUUGAAAGUCCAUAUUAGAGAGAUCAAACAAGCCCAACAACCUAACCUAAUAAAGUAUAAACACAAUGUGUGUACACCAACGUCCUCUGAGCGGAUAAAUGUACCCAUGAAUAAGGAUUCUAGAAGGGCCAACAUGUGUUGAUUGUUAUGCAUACAAUGAAACUCAUUUGAGUCGAGUAUCCAAUUCUCCUUAUCUCGAUCUCUGAUAUGAGGACACAUAACCGACAGUCUGAGAUGUCCAUAACUGUCACAUGAGGAAAAACAAUAACAAACUGAAGCAUAUGGGAUUUUAGAACCACAUAAAUAAUUGUUUCACCUCCAUGCAUGAUCACUCAUAAAAUCAUUCAAAUAUCACUUAUUACUUGUAUAGUCAAGCUCUACAGUCAAGUCUAGAGAACCAACAACUACCAUUAAAUUAGAUAAUGCUAUAUAAAUAUUUUUUCUUCAAAAAGUAUAUAAAUAAUAUUUUCUCGAUCCUCCUUGUGUACAACAUUUCGUAGAAAUGAUUAAAUUUUGAGUGUUCUUUUCUUUUAUCUUACUUAUGCAUAAUGAUUCAAUAGUUUCUUUUUUAAUAUUGCGUCAAGCUUGUAUUUCAUUGGAAUUUGAUGUGUUGUGAGUUGUUACCGUUGUUGGUACGGUGUGUAGUAGUGUGAGCAUAGCUUGUAUUUCAUACUACUGACAUGUACAAUUCUUACUACAAUCAAAUUUGUAUCUGUUGCCAUUGACGCUUCCUAAAGGAGUUGACUUUUUUGUUGAAUACAAAUGAAUUGACUCUAGACUAUUGCUUGUUUUCAAAAAACAUUUUAAUGCCUAGUUUACUAUGAGAUAGAAAUAUUAAUCUUAAGUAUAUCAUUUAAUUUGAACCUAAGGAGUACAUAUUUAUAUAUUAUUUUCUUGUCUUUUAAAUCGUUAAUAAAUUAUUUGUGUGUCUUUUCAAUAUACUAAGAAUCAAUUAGUUAAAAGAGAAAAAUAUAUAUUAUUUAUUGUUUAUUUCUUGAUUAUCUUUUAGAUAAACAUUUAAAAAAUAAUGGUACAAUAGUUAUAAUUUACUUCAUAAAUUAUAUACAUGACAAAUAUUUAUUAUUAAUUAAAUAAUUAAAUGAUAAUCUUUCAGUAAUUAAUUAGUUAAAAUAGAAAAUUAUUUUUUAAUUACUAUUAUAUUUCUUGAAUGUCUUCUAGAUAAAAUUUAGAAAAACAUUAUUAUAAUUAUAUUAAUUUUAUAAAUUAUACUUCAGACAAAUAUUUUUCUUUAAUAUUUAAUUAAAAUAAGUAUUUCACAGAUUAAUUAACUAAAAAAUAAAUAAAUAUAUUUCACGAAUUAAUUAGAUGAAAGUGUUUGUUGUACCGACAAAAAAAAAAAAGAACAUGCUAGUAAAAAUAAGCCAUGGGAUGUCAAAAUGAAAGGUUGAAUUAUGCGAGUUAGUAUUCUAUAGUCAUAAAACUAAAUGAAAAUAUUUAGACAUAUAUAAAAAUAAAAACAUAUUUUUAAAUAUCAAUAAAAAAUAAAAUUACUUUUUAUUAUUGUUAUUAAAAAACGUUUAAAAAAAAUAUGUAUUUGAUCUUGUAAUCAUGUAGGAAUUGUUCAAAUUCUGCAAUGUAGUUACACAAAUUUCUGUUACUGCAGUGGCCGGUGGCAAUGAUGCAUCAUCUUAUUGUCUUCUUUUUUUUCCCCUGAAUUGUCAUGUUAUUGUCUUUUAUCUACUACGAUAUUUUUUUUAUAUGAAUAAAACUAUGUUUCUGUCUUUUUUUGUGUGUGUCUAGUAGAACAGUAGUCUAGUGGAUAGACGUAAGGAUAUGUUUGAAUUACAAAAAAGUAUGAAAAGAUAGAAAGUAAGAGAAAUGAUUGAUAAAGGAAAGAUUGUGAAAGAAAAGUGAGAUGAUUUUUUAAUUGUUUGAUAUGGAAAAAAGUGAAAAGAAAAGAAAAAUAGAAAAUUUAUUUUUCUCUUGUUUAGUUGAAUAGGAAAAUAGAAGAAAGAAAACAAAUUAUAUUUAUUAAAUAUAUAUGGUAUUAAUUUAUUUUUAUCAUGUGUCUUUACAAAUAAAAGUGUAUAUAUAUAGCUUAUUUGAAUUUGAUUUAAACAUGAUUUUUAUUAUUAUUACUUCAUAAAAAUUUAUUUUUAUUUUAGUCUCUUAAAAAUUAAUUUUUUAAUUUGUCCUUGUAAUUUUGGAUUAUUUUUAAUUUGAUAUUUAUAAAAAAAUGUUGAAGUUAACAUAAGUUGAUGAUGCUGCUAAAAAAUCUUUGUUAACAUGGUUAAUAAGUUGUUGAGUCAUAGAUUUCAAUUAAUAGAAAAAUAAAUAAAUAUUUUAUUGAAAAAUAAAUAAAUAUGAAUGGGAAUUAGGGUGAUUGGAUUAAAGAAGAAUGAACACAAAAUGGAGUUGACAAAAAUAAAGAACAUCAACGAAGUGACAACUUAUGUAUUGAGAUCCAUUCCGACUUGAUGAAGAUUGUUGUGGGAGAUGGUGCAUCAUUUGAAUUGUCGCUUGAUCAAUUAGAGCUUGGUGUUGGAUGAGUCUAAUUUAUUUAUGUUGUAUGUAAAUUUGUAAAUAUUAUUGUUGCUUCAAUAAAAAUUAAAUUUAGAUGUUUUUUUUUUAACCUAAUCUAUUUCAACCAAUUCAAUUUUAUCUACAACACAACAAGAAUCCACAUCUAUUCUGAUUUAAUUCUCAGUCAACUUAAAUGAAUAUCUUUUUAACCUAAUUUCCCAUUCUUAUAAUUGUAAUUUAUAGUUUUUCUAUUUUUAAAUGUAACAAUUUUAUAUGUUUCUAAUAAUUGAUUAGUAAUGAAUAGUACUGACUCAACAACUUACUUAUUAGCCAUAUUAUCAAAAGAAUUUUUUUUGAUAUAUAUGACCUAAAAAAAAUGACCUCUUCUUCACGUGACUUUUUACAUGUUUAAGACAAAUAAAUAAUUAUUACUAACCUUAACUUAUUCAAAUAAUACAAUCGGUCACUUAUUGUAAAACAUUUAUAAUAUAACUAACAAAAACCGUGAAAAGAAACAUUCAUAAUACUCUAAUAUUUUGUAUAUAUAUAUAUAUGAUGAAUAUUUCAGAUAUUUUUUAAAAUAAAUACAUUGCCACACGACUACUAAAAUAUUACUAGUAUAUAAUUCUAGAUUUAUAAAUUAAUUCCUGUCAAAACUAAAUGAUUAAUAAUUUGAGCUGUAAAAAGAUAUUCAUAUUGUAAUGUAAUAAAGAAAGAUAGUUUGGUCUUAUAAAUAAACCCCGGUUGAUAAUUAAAGGAUAUUAAUUUAAAUUUAAAUACAAAAGAUUCUUUAUUUUCCUACGUUUAAGAUGUCUAAUACAAUGUUGAUUCCCGUCAAACUGGAAGGAAAAAGAGAACGAUUGAAGAAUAUUCAUUCUCCAUUGUUUAGUUUGGCAUCAAAGAGGGUAGGAAAUAAAGUAGUUUGCUGCGAACUACACAAAAAGUUAUAGUUCCCAAAUUGGACGCAAUGAUGAAAGAAGAGAUGGUUUUUUGUAGCAACUGAUAAAAAUGUCCAUUAAAAAAAUCAACGUGGGAACUAUUAUUUUUUUAGAAUAAUUAAUUCUUAAUCAAUAUCUUAAAGGCACUUGUUGUUCUUUUGUUGAUAAAAAAACACCCCAAUGAAUCGGUGAGGUGUUAAGGGUUAGAUAGGCAGUUUAGCUCAUCUACUUCGCCAUUCUGGCAGUCGGCACGCGGCCCUGACAGAUGCUCGUGUUUGAAAUGCGUUUUUUUUUUGUUUGUCACUAAAACAAUAGUCCAAUACUAACAUACAAAAGAAAAAAAAAUCAAUAAUAGUAUAAUACUAUACCACUUUAAACAAUCUAAAUGCAGAUUUUGCCAUAUAAAAAUUCUAAAAAAUUGACGGCAAAGAUUCUUUUAAGUUUUUUAAUAAAAAAUAUAUUUUUCAAGAUACUAUUUACUAUUCAUCUAGAAGGUCGUAACACUAUCAUCAAACCAUCUUACCACUGCUAGCUACAUGAGCGUUGUGGUGGCGGUCAGAGCUCUGCCGUUAGCCACCACUAUAUUAUUUAUUAAUUAAUUAAUAAAUUAGUUAUUCAUUUCAAAAUAAUAAUAUUAUUUUUUUAGAUAUAAUAUAAAAAUAUUUUUAAACAAUAAUUUUUUGUAUUUUUAAUAUUUUAAAAACAGUUUUAUAUUUAAAAAUAAUAUAAAACCAGGUUAAUUAAUAUUUUCACUUUUUAAAUAAUAAAUUGAUUAAUUUUAUUAAUAAUAAAUGCUAUUAUUUAUUUUUUGUAUAAUAUAUAAAAUACUAUUAUUAUUAUAUGUAUAUGAUUUAUUAUAAUAUUUAAAAAUUUAUUAAGUAGAUUGAAUGAAUAUCUAUCUGUCAAAAUACAAUAAUGGGUAGAUUUGAUGAUUCAUAUAUUUAAUUGAUGGAUUAGAUCAUUUUUUUUUAAAAGAUUUAAUGAAUUAUAAAUAGAUUAUUUUGUUAUUCACAAUUAUCUAAAUUCAUAUCCAUCUAAUUCAUCAAUUGGACCGCCCGAACAAGUUAUUUGACAAUUUAAAUAAAAAACAUUUGGAUUAAAGUUAUUUUUAUGUAAUUUAUUUUUUGGUCGCAAAUCAAAACUGAUUAAUCGUAUUUAUUAAAUACUUUUUAAGAAAAUUGUUAGUUAUCUUUAUUGAAAUAUAUAAACUAAUCAUAUUUAUUAAAAAAAAUUAACUAAUUAUAUUUUUUUGUAUUAUUCCCACCAAGGAUGGUCCCACGUUUUCCAUUAUGUGGACAUUUUCCAUAUUAUUAUAUUAUACAAUAAAAAGAAUAUCACACGCAUGUAGAGACACUAAAAUAUCAUACACUAAAAAAAGGUAAACAACACUAAUGAAGAGUUGAGUUUAGUAAAACUAUUGGACCCUCGUAUUGCGAGCGCAAAUUGCGAUGAAUGUAAAUUUGAAUCUCUACAAAAAUCAAUAUUUCCUAUUUAGUGAUCGUUGAAUGUGUCUCGGGUACAUUUACUAUAGUAUAUAGAACUUAAGAGAUAUAAUAUCCAAUAAUUAAUCAUGUAAAAUUAAAUAAUUAUUUUAUAUUUAAUUAAUUUUUAAAUAAUUUAAAAUUAGAUUGAUUUUACUUUAGUAUCUAAAAAUUUACUCAGGAAAAUAUAUAUAUAUAUAUAUANNNNNNNNNNNNNNNNNNNNNNNNNNNNNNNNNNNNNNNNNNNNNNNNNNNNNNNNNNNNNNNNNNNNNNNNNNNNNNNNNNNNNNNNNNNNNNNNNNNNNNNNNNNNNNNNNNNNNNNNNNNNNNNNNNNNNNNNNNNNNNNNNNNNNNNNNNNNNNNNNNNNNNNNNNNNNNNNNNNNNNNNNNNNNNNNNNNNNNNNNNNNNNNNNNNNNNNNNNNNNNNNNNNNNNNNNNNNNNNNNNNNNNNNNNNNNNNNNNNNNNNNNNNNNNNNNNNNNNNNNNNNNNNNNNNNNNNNNNNNNNNNNNNNNNNNNNNNNNNNNNNNNNNNNNNNUAUAUAUAUAUAUAUAUAUAUAUAUAUAUAUAUAUAUAUUGCUUUUACUAAUAAAAAUUAUAGGUCGGUAUGUGACUCACACCCGUUAAUUUUAAAAUAUAUAGAGUGUUUAAUUUUAUGUGGAGACUCUUUAAUUGAAAUAUUAUUUAAUUUAUCUAACGUGAAUGUUCAAUUAUUGAUAGUGGUAUUCAAUAUUGUUGUUAUUUAAUUAUUUUACUUAACAUUCAAAUUUAAUAAUUUUAUUUAUUAUAAAAUGUAUAAUGUUUUUUUAAUAUAAUAUAUUUCAAUUUUACAGUUGAAAAUGUUAGUUCAUUGACAAAUUUUUUUUCAUCUUCAAAAUUUAGUAAUAAAAAUAUAACGUAAAAUAUUAAUUAACACUAAAUUUAUGAAUUAUUAAUAUAGUAUGAAGAUAAAAACAAAAAAGCGACGUUGACGACUAACUAUAAGGAAUAAUUGAAUUUUAUGAAAAAAAUAGAAUUUUGAAUUUUAAUUAUCAUAAGUUAUUCUUUGUUAUAUUCAAAUAAAGUAAAGAAAUUAUAAACUUAGAAAUGAGAUAAGAGAGGAAGAGAGACGGUCAAGAGUGAUGAAAUGUCAGUUUCUCAAAACUUUUAUGAAUAAUUUAAUAAAUUAUCAUUAUUAUUUUAAUAAUUUAUCGUUUAUAAAAAAAUAUAAGACAUGUGGGACUUUUACUUGAGAAGAUCCGUCACAGCACACAACUAAUUACCCAUAAUUUUUGAAUCAAUCCAAUAAAUUAAUUAAUUAAAUACAAAACUCAUUAAAUUCAAGUCAAAGUGUGUAUAUUAAUAUUUUUUAUAUAAAAAAGUGUGUAUAUUCUUACUUUAUUUGCAUUUUUGUUUUUUCUGUAAAAUUCAAUACUGCAUUUUUGUCAUGGCGUCCACGUAAUGGGAGUGGGAUUUAAAUAUUUUUAUUGACAAAAUGCCUAAAACCGGGCGUCUUACUUUACUAACUCCAGCUACAGUGGUCUGAAGCCAAGUUGCCCUCUCAUGUCACAUUACUUAUUCUAUUUUAUUAUUAUUUGCUCAAAAAACGGUAGUAGGUGAAUGACUCAAAAAACCUACUACCUCUUUUUCUUUUCAAAAACAAAAACAACUCUUUUAUUUUGUUCUAUCGUUCUUAGUUCUUACAUCUUGAUAUUUUGAAAAGAAAAACAUGUCACAUGUAUCAUAAAAAAUGUUUCAGUAGAAAAUAGUUACGCUCUUUCAAAUUUAAAAUUAUAAUUUUUUUAAAAUCGUCAAAAUUAAUAAUUAAAUAUUAUAUUAAUGAUUUUCUUUUUUAAAUUUAAAUCUUCAUUUCUUUAACUUAUAUUUUGAAUCAGUUAAAUUAUUCAUGUUACUAAAUAAAAAUCAUAUUAAUUUGAGGGAAAACAAUUAAAAUAUUAAUAAUUAUUAUUUUAAAUUUCGCGUACAACACUCGAUGAAAAUAUAUAGAUAUCAUACUCAUUCUGGUAUUAUAACUUUUUAAGAAAAAAAGUUAAAGCAUAUAAUUUUAUUGAAAGGACAAAAAAUCUUUAAAUUUGAAAAAUAAUUUGUACAUUUUUUUUGUUAUGCUAUGUUUACGUUAACAAUUUUCUUUUUUAAUAAACCAUUAACUUAAAAAAGUAUCGCCAACUUUAAAUAUAAAGAGUUUGAAUAUAUUUUAUAUAGGGCACGUAAGAUAGUAAAUUUGUAAACAGGAAGAAGAGUAAAAUAUUAGAGAAUUAGGCGGUUAUGAGCUUAUAAAAAGGGAAGUGUUGCAAAGGUAGAUUCCAGGCAACACACCCAUUUCUCCCAUUCUCUUCAUCUCAGCAACAGAACACAACUGUUGUUGAGUUGUUCCUAAACUUUGUUUCUAAUUUUAGCAGAAAACUAUACACCAUGUUGGUGGAAAUUGCAGUUACUUUAGUGCUAAUUGCUCUAUUCAUACACUUCCGACCAACACCAACAGCUAAAUCAAAAGCUCUUCGACACCUUCCCAAUCCACCAAGUCCCAAACCUCGUCUUCCUUUUGUUGGUCAUCUUCACCUUUUAGAUCACCCUCUUCUUCACCAAUCUCUCAUUCGUUUAGGAGAACGUUAUGGCCCUUUAUACUCUCUUUAUUUUGGUUCCAUGCCUACUAUUGUUGCCUCCACCCCUGACUUGUUUAAACUCUUUCUUCAAACACAUGAAGCUGUUUCCUUCAACACAAGGUUUCAAACCUCUGCCAUAAGACGUUUGACUUAUGACAACUCUGUUGCUAUGGUUCCUUUUGCACCUUACUGGAAAUUUAUUAGGAAGCUUAUCAUGAAUGAUCUUCUUAAUGCUACCACUGUCAACAAGUUGAGACCUUUGAGGAGCCAAGAAAUUCGUAAGGUUCUUAAUGUUAUGGCUAAAAGUGCUCAAACUCAAGAGCCACUUAAUGUGACAGAGGAACUUUUGAAAUGGACAAAUAGCACUAUUUCUAGGAUGAUGUUGGGUGAGGCUGAAGAAAUUAGAGAUAUUGCUCGUGAUGUUCUUAAGAUUUUUGGGGAGUAUAGUCUUACUGACUUCAUUUGGCCUUUGAAAAAGCUUAAGGUUGGGAAAUAUGAGAAGAAGAUUGAGGAAAUUUUUAACAGGUUUGACCCUGUCAUUGAAAAGGUCAUCAAGAAAAGACAAGAUGUUAGGAGAAGAAGAAAGGAGAGAAAUGGUGAACUUGAAGAGGGUGAGCAGAGUGUUGUUUUUCUUGAUACUUUGCUUGAUUUUGCUGAGGAUGAGACCAUGGAGAUCAAAAUUACCAAGGAACAAAUCAAGGGUCUUGUUGUGGUAACUUUCUUUUCUUCAAUUCUAAUUGCUUCGUUUCAUCUUUUAGAUUUUAAAUGAGAUUAGAUUGGUUGAGUCAAUUAUACUAAACUAAAUGAUUUGGUAUGCAGGAUUUCUUCUCUGCAGGAACAGAUUCAACCGCUGUGGCAACAGAUUGGUGUUUAUCAGAGCUGAUCAACAACCCAAGAGUGAUGAAGAAAGCUCGAGAGGAGGUUGACUCUGUUGUUGGAAAAGAUAGACUAGUCGACGAAUCAGAUAUUCAAAAUCUUCCAUACAUUAGAGCCGUCGUGAAAGAGACAUUCCGCAUGCACCCACCACUACCUGUUGUGAAAAGAAAAUGUACAGAAGAGUGUGAGAUUAAUGGGUAUGUAAUCCCAGAAGGAGCACUUGUACUUUUCAAUGUUUGGGCAGUUGGAAGAGAUCCAAAAUACUGGGAUAGACCAUUGGAAUUCCGUCCAGAGAGGUUCUUGGAAAAUGCAGGUGAAGGUGAUGCAGGUUCAAUUGAUCUUAGGGGUCAACAUUUUCAACUUCUACCAUUUGGGUCUGGAAGGAGAAUGUGUCCUGGAGUCAAUUUGGCUACUGCUGGAAUGGCUACACUCCUUUCAUCUGUACUUCAGUGCUUUGAAUUACAGGUAGCAGGACCAAAUGGACAAAUAUUGAAAGGUGCUGAUGCUAAGGUUAGCAUGGAUGAAAGACCUGGUCUCACUGUUCCAAGAGCACAUAAUCUCGUUUGUGUUCCACUUGCAAGACCUGGUGCUGCUGCUAAACUCCUUUCCUCCUAAAACAUACAUUCAAACACUUAAUUCGUCCAUGUCCGUUUAUAAACUAAAUAAUCAUUUUCAAUAAGGUAUCAUUGAGAGAGUCCACAAUGUGUGCUAGUGAUGGUACAUGGGCUUAAAGACGUAUUUAUGUAUAUCAUCUCAAUUUGUCUCUCUUGAUACUAUGAUUGUAAUUUUUAUAUUUUUGUUUUUUUGUUUAUGUCACGAAAGAAGUGUUGCUGUAACCGUUUACAAAAUCUAUAAUUUUGUGCCUCUUUGUUGAAUUUUUGUUAUUUAUAUUUUUGUAACGACCCAUUCACCUUCACCAAGAAAGCAAAAUAAUUUAAUCAACAAGGAAAUGUGGAUGCAUUCCACUAAAAGGACAUCCUCUGUAGCCUCAACACUCAUACGGGCAAAUUCAACGAUCUUUACUCUAAUAGUAAUCUCUAAGGUUUCUUUCUUUCUUAUAAUAAUUUUGAGAGGUUAGAUUUCAAUAUAGAAUUGAUACACCACAAAUAUUAUUGGCAUAACUCAAUACCUCCAAACUUUCAACUUUCAUCUUAAUUUUCAUGUUAUAUUUAUGUUGAUAUAAAUUCCUAACAAAAUUUGAUUUUUAGGUUUACCGUUAUGUUUUACAAUAAGAGCUCCAAAUUUGGCUGAAAAAACUAGAAGUUGUAAUAGUUUUUAGCUAAAUCAUAAGUUAUUCAUGAAUUUCACUUUGAUUUUUUAAAUUUUGUUUGUUUCAUUUCAAUCUAUUAAAUUACAAAUAAUCAGAUAUUUUAUUUUAUUUUAAUCUCUUAAAUAAUAAAUUAAAUAUUUUGAUCUUUUAAAUUACAUAUUUUGGUCCUUUUUAAUAGUGUUUAAUAUUGUAACUUAUUGGACUAAAGUGUUUAUUUUUUGAAACUUAAGAAGUUAAAAUCUUUAAUGUUUAUAACAUAUGAAACUAAAAUGUAAGGAAAAAUACUUGAGGGGCUAUAUUGUUUGACAUUUGUAACUUUCUGAGACUAAAAUAAAAAAAUAAAAAAAUUCAAGAGAGCAAAAGUAUAAUUUAGCUUAAUUUUUUAUGUUGUGAAGGAACGUUCUAAUGAGUUAAAGCUUAUAGCAAUAAACUUAGAUAAUUUGUUCUAUCGGUAGAAAGACCAAUAUGAGAUUCAAAUGCUUGAGGUUUGAAUUUGGCUAGUGCCUUUGGGAAAACUAUAUGUAAAUUCAUUUGUAAGUUCUUUGAACUCGAAAGUAUUCCCUAUUAUUAGGAUCGUCAAACAAUCUGUGCAACAAAAAUAUUGGCAUAGGGAUCCAAAUUAAGGGGACCUCAAUUUUUAUUUUUAUAAUAUACCUUAACAUUUGAAAAAUUACAUUUAUAUUCUUAAUUUUAUACAUUGAACAUUGUAAAAUUUCAUAUUUGCACCUUAUGUUUAGAAUAAAUAGUCAGUUUCCCACCACUGAGUCUCUGACAUCGACUGCAGUCUAUCAAACGCUAUCACCCACCAUCAGAUGUUAUUAUUUUGUGAAUUUACGAGCUCAAUUUUUAGAUUCGAAUAGAGUCUCUAAAAACAUUUAGAUGAUCGUGUCUACUAUAGACUGGAGCUCAUUCUUUCACCCUAAAAUUCUCAUAACAAAAAUAAAAAAUUGUAGGAUCACAUUUUAGGUUUGGCUAAAUAAUUAGGGGUGUUCACAUCAUAAUUGAUAAAAUAAAAUAAAAAAAUCAAAAACCGCAUAAUAUCGAAUAUUAUUAGAUGUGUUUAGAUCGCCUUUUGUGAAAAUUGCUCAAAUCGGAUCAAUUUUCAGAUUCCUUUUACAAAUUUAAACCAAACUGAAUCAAACCGCACAUAUAAAUUUUAAUACUUUUUUUUAUCAGUUUAAUAUGUUUUAUUACUAUUUCAUAUGUUUCAAAUUUAAUCGAUGAAUGGUCUUUCAUAAUAUUAAUUUUCAAUAUAUCAUAUCCUAUAUUUUUCAAACUUGCUACUUUAAGAUAAUUUUAUAAUAUUAGUAUUACAAUAACUUUAUGCAAUUAUUUUAAUAGUAUAAACAAUUGGAUUAUAUAAAAUAAAAGUCUUAAAUUUUAAAAAUGUUAAUCUGAUUAAAUCGAACUAAAUCAACAUGUUUUUCAUUAAUUUGAUUAGAAAAUUAUGAGAAAAAUAAUGAACUAAAACUAAAAUUUUAAUAUACAAUAAAAUAUUAUAUUUAAUUUAUCAAUUAAAAUUUUAAAAAUUUAGUACUCCAAAGAUUUUGUUCAAGUUUCGCUAAGAUACCAGAAUCAUGUCCAAAAAAGUUAAGAAAACUUAUUUUUUCACUUUUAAAUUUUUUUAAAAUUUCUAAAUUUAACCCAAAUUGAUUAUUACAUAAAUGUAUUUUAUAUUUAUCUGAUCAAUUUAAAUGUUUAUUUUUAUAUAUUUGAAAAUAUAAGUAUAAGAAGAAACACCCAAAAGUUAAAUAGAACAUAUGUUUGGAUGCAAUGUUCCUUCCUACCGCAGCCAAAUUGUCUUGUGUGUCUCAAAGGUUCGCAUGUAUUUGACUGGAAAAAUAUUUUAGAAUAAAUGCAGCGCCCUCUCUGAUGGACUAGAAAAGUAGUAGUAGUGGUAGGUGAUACUUGCACAUCAUUUAAAAAUAAAUGUCAUUUCAAUUAUUUCUUUAAUUUUAAUGUUUUUAUAAUUUACUAUUUAUUCAUAAUAUUAGAAACGGUAUCAAUAAUGGGCGACUUAUUUAAAAAAAAUAUAUAAAUUUUUAAAUAAUGUAAUUUUUCUUUUAUUAUAAUAAUCAAUGACACGUGAUUUGGUCAAAUGCAUAAAUAUUUUGCUAAUUCUUAUUAUAUUGAAAAAAUUGUGACAGCUAUUUUGAUUGAUGAGAAAAAUUAAAGUAUAUUUUAACCCUUAAUAAAAAACAGUGACAAUUUAAUCCUUUCACAGUUGACUUGUAAACUGUACAUGAGCGGCCAUAUAGAAAAUCUAGUCCAAAGAUGGGGCUUAUAAAAGGGAAUAAUAGCAAAGCUUUUCUCUCAGCCAAAACAUAAAUCCUAUUUGACUUAAACUCAUCAUAGUAACAACUGUUGUUUCUACUUAUUAGUUGACUCAACAAGUUAAUUACACUAUCAAAUAAGCAAUACCAUGUUGGUGGAACUUGCAAUCACUUUAUUGCUUAUUGCUCUGUUUUUACACUUGCGACCAACACCAACAGCUAAAUCAAAAGCUCUUCGACACCUUCCCAAUCCACCAAGUCCCAAACCUCGUCUUCCUUUUGUUGGUCACCUUUACCUUCUGGAUAACCCUCUUCUUCACUACUCUCUCAUUCGUCUGGGAGAACGUUACGGGCCUUUGUAUUCUCUCUACUUUGGUUCCAUGCCUACUGUUGUUGCCUC
This 47521-nucleotide long non-coding RNA is filed under the name Cicer arietinum (chickpea). RNAcentral's name for it is "long non-coding RNA (CARI_LNC001850)". Lineage: Eukaryota; Viridiplantae; Streptophyta; Magnoliopsida; Fabales; Fabaceae. The record is from RNAcentral.